AAACACUUACCUCAAACUUUCACGGCCAAAUCAAUCCUCAAUUACCGCUUUUCCUCUCAAAUUUGGCUCCAAAUCGAUUGUAUCUAUACAAUAAUGACUUCAAUACAUCAAUAAAUGCUAAACAAUGCCUAAUUAUAGCUUUCCAAGCAUUCUUCCCAAAACCCCAAAAUCGACCCUGGGCACGCUUGGCCAAAAUACGAGGUUCGGACCAAAAUCAAAUCACUCAUUCAUCCACGAGCCCGAAUAUAUAAUUAUUUUCAAAAUUCGACCCCAAAGCGAGGUCUAAAUAACAAUUAAUUAAAAAGCCCUAACUCUACCCAAAUCUCUAAUUUUCUACCCUUAAUCACAUGCUUUAGGCCUAGAAUUUCAAUAGAUGUUGAUGAAAAUGGAAGAAAAUAAGUUAAAGAUUACUUACCCAAGAGAUUAUGGUGAAGAAUUGCUUCAAAGAUCGCCUAAGAGCUUUGAAGAAGAAAAAGUUUUGUGAAAUUUUGAGAAAUCCCGUAAGUGUUCUGUUUUUGGCUUGUAAAAUCACUGGGCGAUUUUACUCUACGCGUUCGCGACAGACCCUUCGCGUUCGCGAUGGGUCAGGCUGGUUAGCCUUUACGUUCGCGUUAAUGGGCUCGCAAUCGCGAAGCUUUAGCUUCUCGAUCCCUCGCGUUCGCGUCCUACCGGUUGCGUUCGCGUAAGGUAACUACCCCUCCCCCUGCCCAGGCCCAUUUGGCCUUCGCGUUUGCGUGGCCAGGAACGCGUUCGCGAAAGUAUAGUUCACCGCUGCCUCGCGUUCGCGACCUGGGCUACGUGUUCGCGUAGAAGGAAAUUUCCUUCAGCAACUUUACUCAUCGUGUUCGCCAGGGUCCUCCCGCGAACGCGAAGAAGACCAUACCAAAACUGGAAACCUGCAACUUUCAUAACCGAAAAACCAUCCCGAAACACCUCUGAAACACUCCCGAGCUCUCGGGGCUCCUAACCAAACACACGUACUAACUCAACAAUAUCAUACGAACUUAUCCGUGCGAUCAAAUCGCCAAACUAACCUCAAAACAAUGAAUCAAACCUUAAAAUCAAGAGUUUUUUCAAAAACUUCAUCAAGUUGAAAUUUAAGAUUUCAAGUCCGAAACACGUCAAACGACGUUCGAUUUUAACCAAACUUUACAGAAACAUCGUAAAUCACAUAUAAGACCUGUACCGGGCACCGGAACUAAAAUACGAGCCCGAUACCAACACGUUCUAAUCAAAUUUCAUUUCAAUUUUCCUUAACAAUUUCAGAAAAAUAAUUUUACUUAAAAAUUUAUUCAUCGGGUUUGGGACCUCGGAAUUUGAUUCCGGACAUAUGCUCACGUCCCAUAUUUUCCUACGGACCCUCCGGGACCCUCAAAGUACGGGUCUGGGUUCGCUUACCCAAAAAUAUUGACCGAAGUCAAAUUUAUUCAUUUUAACAUCAAAACUUAGCAUUUUUCACAAAAUUUCAUAUUUAAGCUUUCCGACUACGUGCCUGGACUACGCACGCAAAUCAAGGCAACUCUAAAUGAGGUUUUCAAGGCCUCAAAAGCACAGAAUGGAUAAGAAAACAGGUGAUGAUCCUUUGGGUCGUCACAAGAAACCUACAUUAUAGGGGACUUAAGUAGUGAAGUACUAAUCUUUCAACGUUAACAUCACAGAUAUUUGUAAGAUUUUUCUGAAUAUCUUCUUUUGUUGAGCUACUCUUGUGAUUUUCUUUGUGUUUUUUUUUUACAAAUUUAAAGGCGCUGAAGGAUCAAACUGUUGCACAACAUUUUCAGGUAAGAGAAUAUUUACAAAUGAAUACUAAACUAUAUGAAUUCGUGGAUAGAAAAAAAUAGACUCCUUCACAUUCAUGAAGUUCACAUAUCAAUACAUGAAAAAACCUUUUCAACGAAGAAAAAUAAAGAAGAUUAGUAGAACCUUCAAGCAAUUAAAAAGUAACGGCGUGUAGACAAAAUGGACUAUAUAAGCUUAUGAGAGCAAGUCGUCACGAAAAUAAACUUGCAUUUACAAUCAACAUUUUAUGGACCAUAAGAGCAUAGGUUUUAUACAGAGAUGUAAAUGGCACAAACGUGAAGCACACGCUUAAACCAAAAUAACUGUACCGCCAUUAUUCGCCAGAAAAAGAAAUAUCAAAGUCAAACUAAGACGUAAACGCCUGUAAAGUCCUUUGGAUAUAUGAAUAUAUAUAAAAAACUCAUUUGAAUAGUUUUUUAGAUCCUGCUGUUAUGCAAAAGGAUAUGUCACAACCAACAUAACUUAAAGUACCACCCACAUGAUCAAACAGUGGCCCAUUGAAAUGAUAACAAAUAGUUUUUAGGUUCCUAAUAAUAACAAUUAAUAAAAAGCUUAUUCUUAGGCAAAGAAGGGGAGAGUAUAAUAAGAAGAUGUAAUUACUUAUGUAACUGAGGAAUUAUCACCAGUAACUCAGGCUAAAACUACGUACUAAUUCCUUGUUACAAUAUAAUUAUCAUACAGGUCAACACAUUUCAUUCAAAAAAUACAAGGUAUUAUUUUAUUAUUAAACUCCGGACGUCGACUAUCUUGAUUCUAUUUAUUCUCAUGCAUAAUUCAAUCAUGAUAUCUUAAGAUGUAAAAUGUAGAAUAUUAUGUAUUAGCAUUUCAUUAAUUUACCUUUAAGUAUGAAUUGGUUAAAUUUUGAGCAGCAACCUCCUUUUCUUUACAAAGCCUAAGAUCAUGCAACAGUUUCUGCGCAAAAUUCGACUUCUGAUAUUUUUUCUAAAUGUAGAACUGAAUUUUGGACUAAGUUUCUACAAGAAAGCUGCAAAAUCAAUAAAAGCAAAUAUAUAUUAAAGAAGAAUAUUCUUAGAUUGUGUUGCAGGUCAAUUGCUAGUAGAUUAAUGAAGUAUAAGAAUGUAAUCUGUGAAGUUGUUAUGUCACUUUGGUGAGAGGAGCUUUUUAGUGUUAGGUAAGGUGGAAAGUUCGAAAAAAAACUAUAACAUUUGAGGUUGAUUUUUUUUCUUCGUAUUCAUAUUUUACAGUCACAAAAUAGAAGCAACUAUAAGUCUAUACAAAUAAUCAUAACAUCAUCAACCUUUGAGUAUUCAAAAUAACAUAUCUUCAAUUGUGGAGCUGCACUUUCAUCAAAAAGUGUAUCGUCCAAUUUCAAAAUUUUGCCGCGCAGGCACUUGAAGUUUGAAGAAGAAUAAGAUCCCUUAAAUUAAAAAGAUGGUAUUUAGGAUAAAAUUUAUAAAGAUUAGUCCAUGUCUAUGAUAUAUCUUAAAAAAAAACAUGCAUCCACAAUCUUUUGUUUUUGUUUGUCGAAUCUUGUAAGUUUCUCACCAUGUUAUGAUAGUAUUGGAUUCCUAAAAUAAAAUUCUGGAAGAAGUUUCUAGUCUGAAAUGAAAAUAACUAAAAACCACAAUGAGAGAAGUAUUGCAGAUAUGGAACCAAUGCUUUUAAAAACAUGAAAGCUGGCAUUUUAAAAUAAUAGAAUUGUGACAAAGUGCCUCCAUUACCAUUUCAUUAUCGUCCAUAAUGGUAGUCAAGGUGAAAAUUGACUACUAACAAAAUAAAGAUAUUUAAAUCUACCUCAUUCUCACUAAACCUUUCCGCAUAGCAGAUGUGCACAAAUAGUUUUCCCCCAUCUGCAUAUUCCAUAAAAGUAGCAAGAUGAGUGGGAAUUAUUAUCACCUGUAUUCCACAAAGAAAAUGAACAUUAGUUAGGAUAGCAAUUCCUUAGCUUUUUGUUGCCAUUGUCAAAAUAUACUAACAUAAAUACACAAGGGCCAUAAAAAUAAACAACAUAUAACCUCACAAAAUUGCCUUGUUGAAGUGAAUUAUGUUUGAUUGUCGAAGCGAUUUAUGAUUAAUGAUAUCCCUUGCUACAUUCUUACUAAUCUAAAACAUCUCAACUUUAUAGAAUAUUACAUAUACAACACAAUAGUUAGACAAUGAGCAUAAGAAACUUAAAUUAAAUGUAAUUUUUUUAAAAAUAAAUUCAAUAUUUGACGAUAAACGAUUGUAAUAAUACAAAUGUUAUGCCAGCUCUCAAUGUAUUUCAUAUCCACAAAGCUCUGUCUCUAUAUGCUUCAUGAGUCUCGCCACACCAAAUUAGCAAAGCAUCUUCUUCAAAUAGCAAUGAACAGGAGCACCAACAAUUUAGAUAUCAGUAACAAUAAUAUUAAUAAGUUUGACGACAUAAACUUAGCCAAUAAUCACUGCAUUGGGAAUAAAAACUUACAAGAUUCAUCAAAAAAUCCUCUUUAAAAUGCUUGUAUUGAGACCUCUUUUUAGCCAAUUCCAUCACAUAUAACGUGUUCUCAAUUGGCAAAUAGCCCAACAAUAGCUGCAAAAAAUACAUGUAAUUAGGAGGAAGAGUCAUCCAAACUAAAAUUUUCUCUAGCAACAAAGUAUUUGGAUGGAAAAUUGCACCAAUUACAUAGUCAGACACAUUCCACAUAAAUAAUUGUCGGUAAUAUAUGCAUCUAUCACUAACUAUAGUUAAGGAGUAGUAUGUAUUCUGACAUCCAUCCUUGAUAAACUAAUAUAAUCUGGUAUAAACAUCAGGUGUGAGUAAGUUUUUUCUCUUUUUCGUUCUAUUAUCUGCUUUGGUUAGCUCAAAGGUGGUCUCUAGUAUGCACUUAACAUAGUUUAGGUAUGUUACAUUAGCUAGAAAAGUAAUCUGGAUCUUUUUGCUCUUCAACAAAUGAAAUGUUGGAGAAUUUGCAGUUAAAGCUUGUUACACUUUAGGCGCAUAUACAUACCAAAAGUAGUUUUAUGGAACUCUCAUGUUAUUAUUACUUUUUGUAGUAAGUCUAAUGUGCAUAACAUAAGCUAUGUCUGAGAUAAGAGAUGUUCUAAGAAGUAUUUGUCUUUCUUAAUUCAUAUGUUAAAGUUAGUUGAACCUGUUUUCUGAAAAAAGUCAAUCUCCAUAGUUGCUGCCAAAUCAACCAUGAAAAUCUGACAAAAAACGCAGCGAAAAGCUCCAAGAAAUAGUCCAAAAAGUCGCAUAAACCCCAUAAAAACCACCUCUAAAGCCACCAUAACUGCUGCAAUAAACCAGCCAUGAAUUACUUCUAAACCUCCAUUAAAAUGACCCUUAAACCCCAUCAAACCACCACAAGAAUGACCCCAGAUUAGCCAUGUAAAAGACCACCUGAAAACUCCAUAAAACCAGUUCACAAAGCAGUAAAAACUCCUUUAUUAACACCAAAAACUCCUCCUAUAAAUUUGCUUCUUAACAACUGCAACACUUUUGUAGCUUUUGAACACAAUAUGCAUUAACUUUCUGAAGUUUCAUGGAUAGUUCCUCUGAUGAUUAUUGUCAGAAAAUAGCAAGCAGAACUAACAAGGGAAGGAAUAGAAUUAGAUUUUGUAUUCUAGGAGCAGACAAUAUCAGUUCUUCUAUAGUGCAAAUAUAUAGAACCUUAUUAAUUACACGCAACUACUUAAAAAGAAUCUCCUAACUAUGAGUUUACGACUAUAGAAGUAUCUCGUAUAAAUUUUAGCUUCACCAAUACAUUUAUUCAACAUUCGAUUAAUUCAAAUAACUAACAUGUUGCAUAAAAAAAUUAACUGAAAGAGUCAACUAAGUACUAAUUUAAGAAUUAGUUUUUAAAAUAUGAAUGUAGAUCAAUAUUUACGUUGGAAUUAGUGCAUAAUUGUGAAUCCAACUUUCAGAAACAGAAAGUUAGAUACGUAUACUAUACAUAAUUGUUUAUGUAAAAUUGGAAAUGGAGCAAUUUCGUAGACCCUUGAAGUUAUGGGGAAUAUACGAAAUAUCAUAUCAGUCUUAGCAAGUACUUCAACAAUACUGGAAAAAAUAUUGAUUUUUCUGUAUUUUUUCUUCAUCCUAAUAACAUACUCCUUAGAAAGGUAGAUUCAUAUAUAUCAUAUUGCUGAUAAAUUUCAUAUACAUACAAAUUGGAACACAACGGUGAAUCCUACUUUCAGAAACAGAAAGAGAAAUAUUGGUAGCAUACAUACUCGUUUCAUUAGUACAAUUUCAUAUAUUUGAAGAUUGUGAAAAAUUUAUCCAUUAAAGUAGCAUAGAAGAGGACUACAUAUAAUCGUUUCAUUAGUACAAUUUUAUGUACUUGAGGAUUGUAAAAAAAUUAUCCAUUAAAGCAGCAGAGAAAGGAUUCACAUAAAAACUAUGUGAAAGUAGAAUGUUACCUAUGCAUUGGGUAAAAUCUAACUCUAUGGAAUAUGACAUUUCAGACUUGAAACGAUUCGGAUUUUUCACAUUUGAAAACUCCAAAUUAGAUUCAAUUGCAUCGAUGCUUGAAAUUUGUGUGGUUGUAGCCAUAUUUGCAAAGUUAUUGUAGUACUGAGCGAAGAAAAUAGGGAUUGAAAAAAGAAGUUAACAUAUGAAAUCACAUAAAUCGUGGGUGAUUCUCCGACUGUUUGAGUUAGUUUAGAAUUAUUGUUGAACCCCACGUUUGGGAAGAUGAUGAGUCAUGGCUUAUCCUCACGACUAUUCUUUGUAAAAAAACGGCCAAUUCCAGGAAGUAUUUAUAUUUUCUUAAUAUAAUUGCCGAGUUGAAUAAGUAAAUAAAAUAACUGUCAUAUGUGAGAAGUAUCCAUUUUUGUCAAUAUAUCUUUCUGUGCCUUUUCAAAAGGGAAAUAUUUUAAAUUUUUCUUAAUUUUCAAGUCUUGUAAAUAAAUAAAAUAAUUGCGCUAAAUAAAAUAACUGCCCAAUAUGGCAGGCAUUAUCAAUCUUUUUUUGUGAAUUCGUAAGGUUGAAUCUUUUUUGCCUAUUUUUAGUUUCAAAUAAUUUUAAACUCCAACUUUAUUGGAGAUGUGUCCAAAAAAAAAUAACACUUGUUUAAUUUAAUUGUGAUUAUGCCACUUGGCAUUAUUACAUGCUUUUGCUUCUCCUUUUAUAUAUAAAUAGAAGAUAUAAAUAGAAGGUUUAUAUGGACUAGGCACAAAAUUUAGAAUUUAUGAAAAAAUAAAAACUUUUAAAAUACCCGAUAUAAAAGAAGUCGUGGAUAUUUGUAUGAUUACCAAUUAUCUCAUUAAGGGUAAACAUUUAAUAUUAAAAUUAAAUUAUUUUUAAAUAUAAAAAAUAGGAGUAAUAUUUUUUGGGAUACAUAAAAAAGGAACUAUGUCACAUCCAUUGAGAAAUUGGGAAGAGAAAUUAUAAUAAUAAUAAUUAUUAUGAUGAGGUUUAAAGGAAAGAAGGUUGUAAUUCUCAGGUAUUUUGCCCAUUUUUAUAUUCAGAUAUCGAAGUUCAGACUUUCAGAGUCAAACCAUAUUCAGUAAACCAAUUAUAGAAAGUUGUCCACCUUUUCCCGUGAUUCUUUUUCCGUGAUGUAUUACUAGUGCAGUUGAGUUCCAUAAACCUCCAACCUUCUUCUAUGACUGUACAGCAAUGGCUGCCAUUUCAGUUCCUCUCCUCACCCUUCGAUCACCUCAAACCAACCGCCCAUUCCCUUCAUUCUUUAAUCUCAACCGUCCCUUUUCAACUUCACUCUCCUCCAAUUGCAGCUUCAACCAUUUAACAGUCUCAAAUAGUAGUACUUUUUCUAACCAAGCCAUCACCGAAACAACAACCUCUGAUUACUCUACCAUCAAUGUCCAAAACGACGACGCUUUGGACACCACUCUUUUCGUUAUUCGGGCCAAGAACCGAAUUGGCCUUCUCCAAAUCAUCACCCGCGUAUUCAAAGUCCUCGGGCUCACAAUUCAAAAGGCCAUUGUUGAAUUCGAAGGUGAGUUUUUCGUGAAGAAGUUUUUCGUCAGUGAUUCUAACGGUAAGAAGAUUGAGAAAACGGAACAUUUGGAGAAGAUUCAGAAGGCUUUAAUGGAAGCCAUUGAUACUGGCAGAGUAUCGCCGUCGGUGGCGGUGGUUAGUGGGAGAGGAGUGGUUGUGAGGAAAGCUGGGUUGAACUUAGGAGAGAGGAAAGCAAAAGCAGAGAAGAUGUUUGGGUUAAUGGAUGGGUUCUUGAAGAAUGAUGCAGUUAGUUUGCAAAAAGAUAUUCUUGAUCAUGUUGAAUUUACUGUUGCUCGAUCAAGAUUCAAUUUUGAUGAUUUUGAAGCUUACCAGGUACUCCCAUUUACCGAUUUAUUUGGCAUUAUUUGACUGUGCAUGGAGUUUAAGAAAGAAGUUAGACUUCGAAACUUGUGUAUUAGACAAGCCUUAGACAUUGUUUCUCAAUAUAGAAAGGUGCCAUUAUGUUAGGGACAAACUGAAAUGGGAAGUGUUCCACAUAAAAUGAGACAGAUGGAGGAGUAACUUUUAGCAUGUUACUAAUGAAGUUUGCACAAUGCAGGCAUUGGCGCAUAGUGUCAGGGAUCGGCUUAUUGAACGAUGGCAUGAUACUCACCAGUAUUUUAAGAAGAAAGACCCCAAGCGACUGUACUUCCUUUCGCUUGAGUUUCUUAUGGGUACUUGACAUUCACAUGCUCAUAGAGUCCUUUUCUUUGCUGCAUCUAAUUGGGGCACCUUCCUGAAACAAGUACUUACUUGUUAAGAGAAGUCUUUAUGGUUUUCCUGAAAGUGAAGUGCUCUUAGUUUUGUCUAAUUAAGUUUUUCUUUUUUACUUGAUCUGUCAGGUCGUUCUCUAACUAACAGUGUCAUAAACCUUGGCAUCCAGGACCAAUAUGCCGAUGCUUUAAGUCAGCUUGGGUUUGACUAUGAAGUCUUGGCAGAGCAGGUUGGACAAUUCUUGAUGGCUGUUUCGGGUUCUCUAUAGCUUCUUCCUUUUUGCCUGUAUCAUUUCUCAAACUAAAAAAUAAUGAGUGUUUUAGUGGUUACAUUGGAUCAUUUGAACUUCCAUACUAAUUUAAGUUAAUCUAGAAUAUUUACUACUCCAUCCAUUUCAUUUUAUGUUAAGGUGUUUCAUUGGUACGGAGAUUAAGAAGGACCUAAAAACUUGUAUACAUUGUGGUCUUAAGCAUAUCAUGACAUAUCUGUAAAAUGAUGUCAUCAAGGUAAAAUGUGAAAUUUAAAUAAUUGUGUCCCCUAAAAUGGAAUAGAGGGAGUAGCAUUUAAAGGACUUGAUAGGCUAAUGCUUGCAAAUGAAGAUGCAAUAAUUCCGAAUUCAUAGGACAAGUUUAUUGAUAGACGCGGCAUUGCACAAUUAAUGAAAUAUUGUUGAUGCUCAUUCAUCCUUAAGCACUGGUAAUUAUUCUGGCAAUCGAUCUAAUUUUGAAGAACGCUUGCAUUUACAAUUGAGUAACUUCUUCUCGAUCUUCGUCUUUACUCACAGUUAGCUGUUCUGUUGCUCCCCUAAAUAAGUUAUCCUUGGUGAUUUUGUUUCUAACGUUCAUUCAUUUCUAGGAAGGAGAUGCUGCCCUUGGUAAUGGUGGCCUAGCUCGCCUUGCAGCUUGCCAAAUGGAUUCCCUAGCGACAUUGGACUACCCAGCUUGGGGGUAUUGUUUAGGCUCCUUUUUUCAUUGUCUAAACAUCAUUUGCUCCUGAUAUUGUUCGCUUCUUCACGGCCUUAGGUUUUGAAUCCCCUCACUUUUUCCUGAACAGUAGAAACAGUCAAGAAGAAUUGGGGUUUUCCCUAUUUAUGAAUAACAUCCUGCUUCAUGGCUGCAUUUUUGCAUCGAGAUGAUAGUCACCCAUGUAAUACUAAGAUCAGAUUUUUCGUAUUGUUCUUUCAAUCCUUUUCUUUUCAAUCAAAAUGAUGUUAUGAUUUCGAACCCAAAAUGAUCUUUGAUUUGGAUUUACUGAGUUCCCUAUGUGAAAUUGAAAUUCUACGAUCUGAAAAAUGGUGUCUCGCUUUUCUUCAAAGAUUUUGCCCUUUAUCAUCGUGAAGUUUAUCUAAAGAAAGUCAACUGAGUUGGAUCCUCUACAUUUCUUUGUCUUCAGUUAUGGACUACGCUAUCAAUAUGGAUUAUUUCGUCAGAUCAUAGUGGAUGGUUUUCAACAUGAACAACCUGAUUUUUGGUUGAACUUUGGGAACCCCUGGGAGAUUGAACGUGUUCAUGUGUCUUAUCCAGUCAAGGUUUGAAAGUAUUUAAUUUUCCAUCUUUGUCAGUAAUUUAUCCAAAUGAGAUGUUUUCUUUUGUUGUUUUAGUUUGGGGUGCAUAUGAUGUUAUCUUCUUCAAUUUUCUUGAGUGAAACUUCUACACGUUGCUAACUGGCAAUUUACUUUGUAUGCAAGUUCUAUGGGACUGUUGAAGAGGAAGUUUUAAAUGGAAAGACAUGUAGAGUUUGGAUACCUGCAGAAUCAGUAAGUGCUCCUGUAUUUAAUUAGUCAUUUUUUCUAGAAAUUUAGACUUAUUGCAUGUAAUAUUGCCGAAUGACUAGCGUGUUCGUUUACUUGUAGGUUGAAGCAGUGGCUUAUGAUAAUCCAAUACCUGGUUAUGGAACGCGAAAUGCCAUCAACCUACGACUUUGGGCUGCUAAACCAAGUGAUCAAUAUGAUAUGGUAACCUUUGACAAUGUUGGCUAGUAAAUGUUUCUGACGAGGUCUUGUCGGGAUGCAGCAGAGGUCUAUCUGUAUACUCUUAAAUAAUCUGGUCAUUUUAAGAAUCUAUGGACUUCUUUUUCUGUACCAGUGGUCUCUCUUUCACCAUGUGGCUUUUCCUUCUUAUUAUAUGUUUUUCUGUGGGAGGGACUGACAAAGGGAUAGACUUCAUAAUCAAUUUAUUCCAGUUUCUUUUCUCUGACUGGAUUGUGGUAGUUAGUCACUUUCUUCUUUUGUCAAAUGUGAAUAUCGCACCUAGUGUUGCACAGAUCAGAACCCUUUUAGUUUCUUAAGAAUAUGUCUUAAUGUGUACUUUGACAUCUGACUAUCUCUUAACUUCUACAUAGUACCCAUUUCAUCACUUGCAGGAGUCUUACACCACUGGAGACUAUAUUAAUGCUAUUGUUAACAGACAGAAGGCUGAAACCAUAAGUAAUGUGCUGUAUCCUGAUGACCGUUCUUACCAGGUAUUUCCAUUCUAUAUAGUGUCUUGAAAAAGCGCGUAAAUGUAGAGUUCCUUUAGUUUCUUGGAGGCUGGGAAGGGGCCUCAAUUACUGGGAGAAGCCAUUUCAUUCCCAAGCAUUAAGAGUGGCUAGUAUUUCAUAUAAUCUCAAUUAAUAAUGGGUAUACUGUACAGUAUAACAGUACCAUAACUUUAUGCCUACAAAUUAUAUUGAAUGAAGUAAGAUCAGUAUGAGAUGAUGAUGAGGAAGAUGCCGUUAAUAGAUGCAAAUAGAACAGAUAAUUAUCAAUAGAGAUAGUGAAUUGAAGUUCAAUCGUAAUUGGUUUUAGUCUUUUAGAUGCUAAUUGGUAUCCUUCUUUAUCUAAUUAUAUGUUCUGCAGGAUACUACUUUGGGUUUUCUUCCUUUUUUGUCUUCCUUAUUGUACUCUGACCAUUUUGAUUUGCAUAUUCCAUAACUUUCUUUGAUGUUCUUUCUUCAGGGUAAGGAACUGCGGUUGAAGCAACAGUAUUUCUUUGUUUCAGCAUCACUGCAAGACAUAAUAAGGAGGUUUAAGGAUUUACAUAAUAACUUUGAUGAGUUUCCAGAGAAGGUAUUAUGGGCAUUUUUGGGGUCUGUAACUCAUGCAUUUAUCAGACAAUGGGCUCAAGUCACGUGCUCCUUGCAUUUGUUUUCUUAUCAUAGAUAAACAAAUAUUUGUUUCCUCAUUGCACUACUGAUCAUUUUGGCCUGAAAUGCUAUUAAUCAAAUAAGUUAUUCAGCAUAGACUUAGCAAAGUUUGUUAACAGACUUCGGUUACUUUGUGUCAAUAUGAAAGGAGUAGCAUGAAACAUAAGCCUCAUUUAUUAGGGCAUGAUCCCUAAAACAGUUGCAUGUUUCACGUUCUAGAAAUCCAAAACAAAGUCGAUACAGUGCAAAAGAAUGUCGACAUUGGGUUGGCCACACUUAAUCUGAGCUGGCCUACUCUCUGUGAUUCAUAAAAAUGCCGUAUUUUGAUGAUUUAUGCAAGAGAUUAGGAUCUCCAAAGGAAUAGGGAAUAUUAAGCUUGGUUUUAUUUUACAUCCAAAUACUCAUGGACUAUCUGCUAAUUUAUUCUUUCGAGUUUUUCCCUUCAGGUUGCUCUUCAGAUAAAUGAUACACAUCCGUCAAUUGCCAUUGCUGAGGUAAUGAGAGUGCUUGUUGAUGAAGAACACUUGGAUUGGAGCAAAGCAUGGGGUAUUGCUUGCAAGAUUUUCUCAGUCACCAUUCACGCGGUACAACCUGAAGCACUUGAGAAAGUUCCCAUAGAUCUCCUGGGUAGUGUUCUUCCUCGGCAUUUAGAGGUUUGUUUUCUUUCAGAUGAUUUUGUAUUUUUCCAUAGGAAUCUUUUGGUCUGUGCUUGAAUAUCUUAAUGCUUCAGACCGUUUCAUCAGAGUAUGAACAUUGUUUUUGGUUCAUUUGUCAAAAUUUCCACGUCUCUGUAACUUCAGUCUUUUAAUUGAGUUUCUUCUCAAAUUACUUGUUCUUUUGGUUUUACUAUAAGGUAAGUAAUUUUAUUAAUAGUGGGGAAACCUGUGCACAAGCCGUAUCACAAAAGGUAGAGAACCUACACCAUAUUUUUUUGGUUAAAUCACAGAUCUGUUGCAGUUUUCUUGCAGCCGUAAAGUGUGUCGUCCUUUUUUGCACCAAAGCUAUCUCAUUUAAUGUGUUUAUUAAUUGGGGAGUGAUUUUCAAUUUAUUUUGUGAAUAAUCUCUUCAUCCUGAUUUAAUGAUUCACUUUUUUUUCCAGAUUAUAUAUGAGAUAAACUAUUGUCUCAUGGAGGAGUUAAAAAAGAUACUUGGUCAGGACUAUGAUAAACUUUCCCGAAUGUCAAUUAUUGAGGAAGGUGCUGUGAAGGUAUAGAAGACAACCCUUUUGUGUUCUAUUUUUGAUAACACUACUUCUUGAUAUCCCAAAUUAACUAUGAUGUUUUCCAACAUAGAACACAAAAAGUAAUCUGUACUAGUGACGUGUAAAUAUCCCAAUAAUGUACUACAACAACAACUAUUUCUCAAUCCCAAGCUCGUUGAGGUCGGUGAUAGAAUCCUCAGUUACAAUAUCGCUUCAUUUAAACCCGUAGCAAUCCAAUAUUAUGUCCCAUAAUACUAAGACCGCAAAUUUCCACAUUCAUAACUAGGGUCAGCAAUUAUCUUUUUGAACUCUGUGAUGCUUGUGUUACAUCACUUAUGUUUGUAUCACUCAAACAAAGAGGACAGAGCGAGGGCAGAAGGGAGAGAGGGGAGAGAGGCCAAAACCAAUGCAUUCUUUUGAUUUUAUGCGAUACGCAUUCUUUUGACAACCCACAAUGCAUUACUUGAAUUAUGCCACUUUCACUUAUUGAAAAAUGGGUGCGAGCUCGAAUAUUGGUUUUUUUUUUUUCUGCAAUUGCCGAUUUUGAUUUUGCUCCUCAUAUGGACAGUGUAUUAGGAUGGCAAACCUGUCACUUGCAUGUUGCCACACUGUGAAUGGCGUUUCCAGACUGCAUCUUGAGACGCUUAAAACAAGAGUGUUCAAGGUAAUUUGGAUUCUGCAUUUUUCUGAUUUUUUUCUUUUCCCCAUUAUUUCAUGAGCACUUGAUAUCAAGCCUGCAGCAAUGUAUCCUUUUACCUUCACUAAAUAAGUGUCACUCUAUAAGGCCUGUUUCAGAGGGUGUUUUCCCAGGAUUUCUAUCCAAUUCACUUUACUUUUUUUAAUUUUUUUUUUGUAUUAAAGAAUAUAUAUAUAUAUAUAUAUAUAUAUAUAUAUAUAUAUAUAUGUGUGUGUGUGUGUGUGUGUGUGUGUGUGUGUGUGUGUGUGUGUGUGUGUGUGUGUGUUUAUCCCCUUGAUAUAGCUUUUCUGUUGUUAUUUGUUCAGCUUCAUUUCAGAGAUUGAUAGAGAAAGCAUAAUUGUCUAAAUUAGAGAAUUAACUGAUCAGCCUGAACAAUUGUAUCCCAUUAAUUUCCUCCCUCCAUGCUAAAUGACCACAGUGAAUUAUGCUACAAGGUGUAGUUUGAUUGAUAGACAAGUUAUACAGAGAUAUAAUUCUAUGAAUAACAUCCAAUGGAUUUUAAAUGCAUAUUCAUUUAUUGUUGGAUGUUUGGUUCAUCGUAUUAAAAGUUAGAUAUACAAUGUGUAAAUUAAAACAUGUUUUGGUUUAAAGUGAAUAAAAAUUUGUUUCCAAUGACACCUUUGGCCUAUUCAUCAUUUCUUCUGAACUUUCAGAACUUUUAUUUGGUAGAAGUCUGGCUCAACUAAGAAUGUUCCAGUAAACAUUUAUGUAAGAUUCAUUUCCAUUUUUAUUUUUGGCAAAUGAAAAGAGCGUCCAAUAAGGUUUUGAAGAUGGAAAAUGAAGACUCGCCCUUCUUGAAAUUUCUACUUAAAGCCUGAAGACUGAUUUGGUGAUCACCGCUUUAACCCAGGGUUCCCAUUUUUGGUUUUCUAUAAAUUUAACGUUUACACAUUCUUUUUUGAAACAAGUAUUUAACAAUUACACUUUUGUAACACCAACGCCAAAAAUUGGUUUAGCAUUUACAAUAGAUGUACAAGUUUUAGUAAGAUGCUUCAAAUUCAAAAUUAUUAUGCAUUUUUAAAUAACACUAUCAUAAUUUUCUUUUCAUUUUCUAAAGUAUGGAACUUAUUUUGAGGGCAUUUUGUUAUUUUAGGUGUUAUUAUCCAGGUAUUGCUAAUGCAGGUAGUGUUGUUCCACAUUAUAUUUGGCAUAAAAUAGUAAUAUAUAUAUAUCAUCACAUAAGUACGUGGGAUCAUAGAUAUGGGAAACGAAACUGGCAACCAGUCGUCCAAUCAGUGCAAAGUUUCGUAUGAUAUCUCAUUUGAAUGGAACCAAAAAACUGUCAUCAUAAAUUUUUCUCAUAACCUAAGAGUUAGCUAGCAAAAAGAAUAUUUCAAAAGGAGAUCAUUUUUUUAAUUGCUGUGUCUUGCAGGACUUUUAUGAGCUGUGGCCUCAGAAAUUUCAGUUCAAGACUAAUGGAGUAACUCAGGUGCAUAAUUGUGACUGCUAGUUGUGAUUCGACUUUUUCAAUUUCAAGAUUUCUGCCUCAGGCUUUGACUUGACAGUUAUUCUUCAAAACUUCCUGACAUAGUUCAGAAACUUCUGAUUUUCCUUUACUGCCUUUUGUAGGUAUUGUACUUACAUAAUAGCAAGCUUCAUAUCCAAUCUCAAAGUUUCUGUAUCUUCUUUCUGACAUCAUAAAUAAGUUUUAUUUGGGAAUUGGGGGCCUUUUGUUGGAGUUUAAAAUGGGCAUGCAAAAAGAUGAUAUGAAUUAAAUUUGAAGCACUGUGCUGUGCUCUUCAGUCUUCACAUUUUGAAUUGCUAUUUGUCAGCGCCGUUGGAUAGUGGUGAGCAAUCCUAGCUUGUGUUCAAUUAUUUCAAAAUGGCUUGGGACAGAAGCAUGGAUCCGUAAUGUGGACCUCAUAGCAGGUUUACGAGAAUAUGCAGAAGAUCCAGAUCUACAUGCCGAAUGGAAGAAUGUAUGAGAUCUUUCUUUGCAAUCUCAAUCUGAAAGGAGUACCUGCUUAUUGCUUUUCAGUAUAAUACAUUUUUUACUUUUGACUUGUAGAUGAAGAAGGUUAACAAAAUGAGGCUGGCUGAGUACAUUGAAACACUUACAAGCGUGAAGGUUUCUGCACAUACCCAUUUCACUUCCUUCUCUGCUGGUUUCCUACAUGUAUGUUGUCACCUGACCAAGCUAUAUACAUUAUAUUGCAGGUCAGCUUGGAUGCAAUGUUUGACGUGCAGAUAAAACGAAUACACGAAUACAAAAGACAACUGCUCAACAUAUUAGGCAUCAUCCACAGAUAUGAUUGCAUUAAGGUAUCCUCUACAUUCCUCUUCUUCUUAGAAUAAUAUUCCUGAGCAAAACCUGACUGUCGAGUGGAGAUAUAACCACUUACGAACGUACUCCCUGAACUAGUUGGUUAUGCAAUAAUCACCUUGUUCAUACUUCAGGCAGGCCAGCUUAGGUAAUGGGAAGUGGCUUAGAAGGUGCCUGAAAAAACUUUCUACCUCAUUAUGGAUCACCAGCAUUUUGUUUUCUUUUGGAAGUUCAAACUCUGAAUUUUUGAGCCUAAAGACAUCUACUUUUGCUAAUUCUGGUUCAGAUGUUGUAUCUGAUCAAGCUUUGGGCAUUUGUCGUGGACUUAUGUGCCUAUGCGCCAAAUAUGAAGCCACAGAAACUAAAUUUGGUUGAAUUCUUGUUAUAGAAUUCAUUUUUGAAAAUAGAACAGACCACAUGAUUUCACUACCAGCUGCAGAAAUAUCACGACCAACAGAAACGCAUGUCUCAACUAAAAAAUUUCUUCUUCUUGCCCAUUGAAUCUUUGUUUCUGUCCAGUGGCCUGAUAUUUGGGAGCUUAUCUUUUUCUUUUUUUUUGGUCAUUUCUUCAAUAGAAUACUCAUGGUUGCUCCAAAAUUACUUUUACUGACACAAAAAGUAUCUAACUUACCUUGUUUAUUCAGAAUAUGGAUAUGCCUAUAAGUAUCAGUCUAUUUUCUAGAAGUUCUGUUAGCUCCUUAUUAUCCUUCACAGCUAUUAUUAUCGGUCGAACUGUACUUGAUGAAUCAUCUCUCUGAUACAUUAUACUGUCAAUAUUUUUUUUGAAGAAUAUGGAUGAAAGUGACAAGCGGAGAGUUGUACCUCGUGUAUGUAUAAUUGGUGGGAAAGCUGCCCCUGGCUAUGAAGUUGCAAAGAAGAUCAUCAAACUUUGUCAUGUGGUGGCUGAUAAAGUUAACAUUGAUCCUGAUGUUGGGGAUCUCCUGAAAGUGGUAGGACAAGAAUUUGAUUUAUUUGUUUGUAACCUCAAUUAUGUUCAGUCUCAUCAUGUUUAAAUGAAACCAUAGUCCAUCCUUUUCUCUAUGAAAAUGAGAAUGUCCAUUCAGAAACUUGAUCUGCUUCUGAAAAAUACAACAUGGAAUGAGCAAAGAUAAUUAUGAAAGAACAAGGAAGAGAAGAGAAUAGCAAGCAGGUUCGAAGCAUUACUUUGUUAGUCCCUAACAAUCUGUCCCAUAAUGUCUUCUCCUGAAUGAUGCGUUCAUUCUAGAGUCAGCCGUAAUUGGAAACUUUUGAGGAAAGUUAAUGAAAACACUUCUACCAUUUGGCUGCAGAAUUAUGAAAUUGUUGUCUUACAAGACUUCACUGUGCCUACAUAUUGAUCUGGCAUGUCAUUGAUCUAAAACAUUCUCAGGGUUUACUCUAUAUGUGAUCCUUGCUUUCUUUUCCCCAUCCCCUACUAUUAAUGUACUUUUCCUGGAUUGUUGAUAUGAAUGUUACUACUCAGAAUUUUUAUACUUCCAUUUUCUAAUGUCAUUAUAGAUAGCUAAAACUUAGGAGAAAUGAACUCGUCUUCUGAUAUUUCAGGUUUUCAUCCCUGAUUAUAAUGUCUCUGUUGCCGAACUAGUAAUUCCGGGAACUGAUCUUUCACAGCACCUAAGGUCAGUGUUUAUCUUGUGCCCUCCCUUCUGUUUUUAUCUUUUAACAGGUGCAAUUUACAAUUACAACACACUGUCUUACCUGAUAAUGUCUGCUGUUUCUCCCAAAGUAGAAUUAAAAUCACUUAUUUCCUCUUUGGAUGGUCAAAGUUCGCGUUGACUGCUUCUUUGUUUCACUGUGAAAGUCAUUGUUUGCUUCAACUGGUACCAAUACCUCCAGUAUGAGCAGUUUCCUGCAAAACUUGAUGUACCAGGAAUCUUUCAUGUACAGAUGUGUGCUAACAACGUAUAGAAAUCAUUUGUAUUUUUGCAGUACUGCUGGACAUGAAGCAUCUGGAACUGGAUGUAUGAAAUUUUUGAUGAACGGUUCUUUAUUGUUAGCUACUGCAGAUGGCUCAGCUGUUGAAAUUGCUGAAGAAAUAGGGGCAGCAAACAUGGUAAGUAGUGACAGUAGACACGUGUAAAUGAUGAUAAAAGAACAGAAGAAAAGAAAAAACAAGUGUUGUAGGAUAUGGUCCCCUUAAUUGACCCCAUUUUCUUGUUUGAUAACUUUCUUUUGUUCCUUCUUCUUUUUCUUCUUCAGUUUCUUUUUGGUGCAAAGGUAGACGAGGUCCCAGCGUUGCGAGAAAAAGGAACCAGCCUCAAAGGUUCACUUCAAUUUGCACGAGUUGUAAGGUACGCAGUGUAGUUUGAGCAAUCUUUCCCUUGAGUUUUACGUCCUACUCUCUGUAUCUAUCCAACUGUCCCCAAUGAACAAUCUGCCAUGUCUAGGUGUUUCCUUUCUGUUGGCUGCCACUGGAAAAUUGACAGUAGUCUAGAGAAUUAUUGGAUAUGGUCUUUUCCAUCCCUCUCUCUGUCACAGUCACACACAUUAGCUUUUGUUUUUUGACCUCCAAGAUCGUCUAUACCAUGUCUCAUUCACUAGCGUGAUUGUCAAAGCUGAUGGGUAUAUCGUUGUCACAUAAAUGAUCUUUAUGACAUGGUAUCACUCAUCCACACUUAUAAUUUCUCUACCUUUCAUUAUCAUAAAUGAGUUGGGAGAACAAACCAGCAUUAAAGUCAUUUUUUUGCUUCCAAGGUUCUUGGAGGUUUGUCCUGACCAUAGGAUUCGUGUUGUAUCUGAAGUAUUUCCAAUCCUGUCUGCAAUUGCAAUGUAGUUCAAGGUUAUGUGGCUGCCCGCAGCUGUGAGUAUGAUUGUUCAUUGUUGAGAGGCAGCCUUAGUUAAAACUACAUCUACUGUGAAUUAGUUAAAGCUUUCUAUGUGAAUAAUGUUGCAUACUAAGACCGUUUACUUUGUUCUCUGUUCCAUUUUCUUUAUCUCUGUGUGGCAGUUACAUUUUUCCUCUCUCGAAUGUUGCUGACAUAUGCAUGAUGUGGUGCAGCAAAGGUUUCAUAAGUUUUUGGGUAAUGCCUGGUCAGAGUAAACAGAAUUCAAAUGGACAUAGUGCCAUAACUUUCUCUUUGCAACCUUGUUUUAUAGGAAAUGUCAUGGAUAAUUAAUAUAAGCCAACAACAUAAAGAAGUCAGAAGGAAAGUACUAUGAUCAUAGUAAUAUCAGCUCUGUGGUUGAAGCUUUCUGCUGACAGGCAUAAAGAAUUUAUUGACGUUUAUCUCACAUUUUUCUUUACAAACCUGGAAAGUAACUUGUGAAAAGCGAAAAGAAAUAGAGAGGAAAUAAAAGCUGCUUCCAAUUGCCAGCUAGAAUGUGAUUGUCUUGAUCAACUAACUCUGCAAGAUUUUUAGUCACAGGAUGAAGCUUACUGCAUGAAUGAUCUUUCUUAGUGAAAUGCACUGCAUAGGUUCAUGAGAAUAACUUUGGGAGUUUUCAGCUUUUAGCUCAUCUUAUUGUACUAUACGUGUAGGAUGGUCCGGGAUGGUCACUUUGGCUUCAAAGACUACUUCAAGUCGCUAUGUGACACUGUAGAGGAGGGUAAAGACUUUUAUCUCCUGGGAUCUGAUUUUGCUAGUUAUUUAGAGGCUCAGGUAAUGCUUCAAACCAAUCUGUUAGUGCAACUAUUUAUGUUAGAAAUGCUCAGUUUGGAACUGACAGAAUAUGACAACAGGCGGCCGCUGAUAGAGCAUUUGUUGAUCAAGAAAAGUGGACCCAAAUGAGCAUACUUUCUACUGCCGGUUCAGGGAAAUUCAGCAGCGAUAGAACAAUAGAAGAAUAUGCAGAACAGAGUUGGGGCAUCGAACCCUGCAAAUGCCCCUUUUGAUUUGCAAAACUGUGCCUUGCAUGCCACACAUUUCCUAUAGGAAGAAACAUGGUUUGUGCAGCAAUAGUAACCGUGUAUCCUAAUUUGACGAUACAGAAAGCAGUGACUGCAAGAAACACUUGUAAGGGAGCUCUUAUAGUUGCAGAUAAAAUGUCUUUCCUGAAUGCUGAUUUGAAUCAUGUAACAUGGUUAUUUUGACUGGGGCUAGUCGACUUUAUUUUAUAUCAACUAUGGUAUGCAAGUAGCUCCUUAAACGAACAUGGGAAGAUGUAAAACUUAGAAGUCUCCCUUUUAUUUCCUAGAAUAUUGGGUUGUAAGAGAUUCUCAAUCUUUCCAAUGCAAGUUACCAGUAUUUGAUAUUUUGAUUGUUCUUUUGGAAGUAAUUUACUCCUUACAGUUUCUGUGUGUUCAUUUUAUGGUCAAAUACUUCAACUGGCAGGAUCUUGUGCACUGGACCAAACAAAGUGAGCAAAGCUCUAAUUAGGUCCAUCCUGUGAAAAUUGAUACCAACACUUAUAGUUUCCCCAUUUUUUCUUUAGUUUAAUAUUCAGAAGAACUCGGUCUCACUUACGAUAAUUCUCAAGUUCUUCAAUGUCUCUCCAUACUUUUAAGGGGACAUUUGGUUUAGUCUAUGCAAUAAUUAAUAACAAUAAUAAUAAUAAUGAAAAAAUUGUUAUGUAGUGAAUAUUAUUGCAUGAAUUUAGUCGAAAUAGCAGUUCAAAGUUAUACUAUAAUUGAAGUACACAAAAAAAAAAAAAUUCUGUUCUCAUUCUUUCUUUUUUUAUUUGCGGAUAAACUCGUGAAUAGUGGGAGAUAAUUUACUCAGUUCAUUUUUAUAAUAAUCUAUUUUUACUCGGUUUAUUCUUCUUCAUUUUUUUUUUUAAAUUUAACAAAAUGUAGCUCGGUUUAUCUUUCCUAACUUUUCUUCCGCUAUUUUUGUCCUUUUUGUGAAGAUCAUGCGGUGCGGGACUGCUCGCUUCCCCGAAUGGGGCCUACGGUGUCAAACCAAAACAAAAGAGCAAGAGUAAACGGUAUGCGUAUUUUAGCAGCAGUAUCUCAGCACUCAGUAGAAUAACGAAGAUGGAGAUGGCGAUCUCCUUAAUUUUGGUUGCCGCCAUAUUUACUGCUCUCUUCUCUCUGGCAGCUCUCGUUCCGCCCGUCGAAUCUCAGAUUCCGCCAUCGUCCGGCCAACAGAAUCAGAAUUCGGUGAUGUUCGAAUUGCAAGAAGCGAAGCUUAAAAUCGCUCGAUUAGGUUAUUUCUCAUGACUCAUCACUUUCACCCUUGAAAUUCGAACUCCACAUGGCUCAAUGCUUAUGUUUCUCUUGUGGUUUAAGAACUACAUAUUUAAAGAUAUAUUUAUACACACAAACACGAGUGCAUUGACAUGUAAUUACAAAUAUAAACAAAAGAGAUGCACACGCAUAAAAGUUCAUUUACAAGUAAUUACUACUUUUUAUGUUCCGGUUUAUUGUUAGAACUUAGAAGUAAGAAUAGUUCAAAACAAUCAUUCUACUCACUGAUUAUGAGGGUUUCAGGAAAUGUUUCAUUAUAAGCUGGUUGAUAUGAGUACUUCAUUUCAUUGCCAGGCUCGUGUAUCCCCUCUUUAUUCUUAACUAUCGAUAGUCAGGAAAGAUUUGGCUAUCAUUGGAAUAUGUGAUUACUCAUUACAAUAGAUAGGAAACCAGCUUGAGGGUAGUGGGUAUACGCGUGAAUAACUUGAUGCUAGUAAUCUCUCAAUUGGACUAGGGCAAGAUAUUAUGUACCUUUACCUUAAAAUUUUGCUUCAUGCUAAGAAGCCUUAUUGAUACAUUAUAUUGAAAAUGUGCAUUGGAAAGUGUUAUUCUUUUUCUUUCUGUUUAUACUUUUUCUAUAUAAAUGUGCAUUGCAUUGCAAAGUGGGAUUUUUAACUUUCCUUAAUUGAGUUUCCCGCACGAAUGCAGGGACAGUGUUCUUUCUUGUGCUAGUGUCUUGAUGGCCCUAUCUAUCCACUUCUUAAUAUGUGCUUUUCAUAAUUCUGCCAUAUAAAUACAAUGAUUUCCCUUUAACCAUGCAGUUUUUGGUCUUCGUAUGCCUUAGAUAAAGAUAUCUUGUCAGUAGCAUUUUUUCACGAGAAGUAUGCUAUGUUUUCGCCUGCUACUAUUCUGCUAGUUCUGUAAAAUUUUAACAUUGGUGCAUUUGAUUGCAGAAUCCAUCCUUGACGAAAGCAUGCCGAGUUUAAAUGCUAAAAGCCAAUACAUCAGAGAAGCUGAGAAGAAAAUCGAGGACAUUAGUGUAGAAAUUGACAAUCUUACAACCGCUUUGUCCAAAUUGCAGGUUUGUUUUUUGCCAGUUUACGUUUUUCAUGUGUGCUAAUAUCUGACUUAUCCAAAUGAAUUGGUUUUUUCGGAAAAGGCCUUGUUCUUUGCAAGAUUCUAUGCCAUGUCUGGUACUGCAUGGAAAAGUAGAGUAGAAAUUAGUAUGAGAAAAUAUGCUAAAGUAGUCAAAACGAAUGGUCCCGUUCUAUUGAUCUUCUGUUAUUACGAGUAGGAUCUGAAUUCGAUGAGGUUCAGUAGGUUGACAGUUAGUGACAAUAAUGGAAGGGAUUGAACGGGGCACUUGUGAUUUAAGGGUUUUUUUUCCAAAUAAAUUUAGUGUAGGAAACAGUUAUUAUGGCAUAUCCCAAGAGAAUUUAUUCCUCCAACCCCAUCAUCAAUGUCUUCUUCCAUUGGGAGUAGGGAGCAGAAUCUUGUAUUUGUAUAAGGGAAUAUGUUCAUUCAAAUGUCAGAUAGUUGUUUUGAUAAAAACUAAUGCCUUAUAUAUCUUGAUGAUGCUCGUGCAAAAAGCUAAACAGUAUGCCCUAAAUUCCCUGUCUGAUUAUGAUCCUUUGAUUGUAAAAAAUGGCUAGUUCUGUGAAUAUUAAGGCUGUGCAAGUGCAGCUUUGUUGCUGGUAAUCAGUUUGUGAACUCCAAGUGCAUUUCUGGUUCACAUGUUCGUACAUAAAAUAGGUGGUCUUCAGUUCUCUGUCAUUUUAUUGAAUAUGAUUUCAAAAAUAGGUUCUCGGUUGUGAUGAUUUUGAUUUCUUGAUUGAUCUUUCAUUUUGUGACCUGAUCUCGUCUGAUGUCAAGUAGGUAAAUGAGGCAUGCCUUCAUGGGAAUUGUGCUAAUAUUACUAGAGAAUCUAUAAUUCAUGCAACCUGAGUGAAAUUCGUGUCAAUAUGAGACAAUGGAAUAAAUGAUACACAUCCAUUCCUUAUGAAUGCUGUCUUUUUCUCUUUCUUCAGCAUCACUCGUCAAGGAUUAAUACUCUAGAAGAAAAGGUAUGGUUGCCACGUGAUCACUGCUUUCUUUUCUCCAUAAAGUUUCUCAUCUUAUAGUUAGAUAAAUGAGGCAGUUGCAUAGGUACGACUGCUUUGGGAUGUGGCGAGAAAGAACAACUUUGAAAUUCAUACAUUGGAGUUCAAAGCACAAGAUGGUCAGAAAAGAUUAAAAGUUCUUGCGUCUCAAGUUGAAAAGGUAGGUUUGGUAAAGCCACGAGUAAACAACUUCAGUAAAUAAUGUUUCUCUAGUGCAGGUCAAGUGGAAGAAAAUAGUGUCUUUUAAGAUGUUGAUUGAUUCUUUCAUCAUCCUGAGAAUGAGAUUUCUGUAGAAGUGUGUUGAAACAUCUUUACUGUAUACUAGGGUAAACAUGACAGUUAUUGCAGACUUGGACGCUUAAGAUUUCUCUUCAGUUGAAGAAAUCAUCUUAUUUCAUGCACAGGAGAUAGGAAUAAGACCUAAAUGGUAACAAGAUGUCCACACGAUAUCAUAUUUCUUCGUUUAGGAAAAAUUUGUAGCAUUCAAAGAAAAAGAAAUGGUAGAAGAGAAUAAUAGAACUUUUUUCCACUUAAAUGGUUUUCCUUCACCACUUUGUGUCCGAGGAAAUGAAAAGUUAAUAACCUGCUAUGCAUUUUCUUCUUAGGCAAGAGAUGUGGCAAAAGUUCUCUGUAUGAGUAUUAUGAUACUCUGUAAUCUUUCAUUGAUAAACUAUUUAAUUUGGGUUCGCAGAUGGCUGAAAUUGUGUCUGAACAAUGGAUUCAGAUACAACAACUUGAGCAAGCUGUUCAAAUGGCAGAGGUAUCUUCUUGUUUAUGCCUUGGGUUGUAUUUACCAUUAAAACUAUAAUAGAACUGCGGCCAAAGCUGAAUCACAACUUUAUAUGUCAGAUGAGAACACUGAAGGUCAAAAGGCAACUAAGGUCCAGUAAAUGUCCAUUUGUCAAGGUACUGAAAGAUGCUCAUUAAAUUUUCCUAGCUUGCUCACUCCUUUGGAACAUCGUAUAGAGACAUGAUUGCUCUCGAUGUAUUCUUAGGCAUUCAAGUCUUUGAAGAGAACUAACACUCUUGUGAUCUCCAGUUCAUCAAAAACGUUUUUGGCAACCACCUCGAAACGUUGAAGGGGAUUCUGCAUCCAUAUGGAUCAUACAGUAAGGCUGAUCCUAAUUCCUACUGGGAUCAAGCUUUGCAUCAUAUACAGAGGACCUUUGCAUCUGCAAGACAAUACCAUUAUGAGGUACUCAAAUUUUCUUAAUUAGGAGGGUUGGAAUUAACAAGUGGUAUUAUUGCUGCUUAAUCAGUUUAUGGGUUGACAUUCUACAUUUGUUUUUUCAUGUCGUCUUAUGGUUAGCUUUUGCUCUUCCUCUUUAAUGAGCAAUCUCAAGAUAAAUAGUUAUUUUUGAUAUUUAAGUUGGUAACCGCAGUACAUGUGAAGGAGUUCAAAUCCCGGUUUCUAGGGUCAAAAACAAUCUUUUGUUUCCUCUGUACUUUUGGGGCAAGAUGGAUAUGCAUACUUGCAUAGAUGGUUACCUAGACUUUUUGGAGCUUAGUGUAUAUGGAUAGACCUCUUCUGUUUCGUGGUGUAUUAUUAAUAAAAUAUUCAUUUAACGAUGUGUGCGUGAAUUGAUGCAUAACUUUUUUUUUUUUUUUUUUUGUGUGUGUGUCUGUCUGUGUAUUGAUGCCAUAUUUAAGUUAGUAACUGAAAAUGUGAAAAUUUCUGUCCUUGAUUGUUUAGUUGCUGUUGGAUGGACACCCUUCAGUACGAUUAUAUGAUUUUCUGACAGCUUAUAACUACACAGCUGCAGAAGUUUGUAAAGCAUGAAAUAGAAAGGAAUGAAUUUCCUGCGGCUUUAGCUAAUGAAGAAGUGGUGUUCUUAGUGGUAAGAACUUUGAUGCUACUGAGUUUUCUGAACUUUAUUUAUCUUCGCAUGUCAAUAAUUUCCCCACUAAUGUGCUUAAUGGAAUUCUCGACUUUUGGCAGGCCUCAGCUCUGAUCGUCUUUCCCAUUUUAAGUGUAUUCAUGCUUCUCUUCUCACACCUUAGCUAGGCGGAUACAAACAUAAUUUUUUUAGAAAGGUAACAGCAUAGGCGACACAGGCAUACUUAUUCAUGGAAAGAUUAUGGUGUAUUACGUCAAGAAUGAAGUUGAGGUAGUGUUUUGUCAGGUUUUAGUUAUAAGAAAGUUUUGAAGGUCGACAAUCUGUACGAGAUUGGGUAGGAUUCGCCUCAAAGCGAUGAUUGGUUUACCAAACAAUUCGCACAUGACAACCAAGAAUUAUUACACGAAAAGAAGCAAAUCAUGACCACGUGAAAUUUUUGAUCUCUUGUACACUUUGUAGAUAUUCACCUCAACAAAUGCCAUUUCUCUAUUUGAGGAAAUUCACCUUAUGGUUCUUCGUGGUAGUUGUUACACUACGGAUGUGGAAAGUGAUCAUAGCUUAAUUGUCAGCUAUGACAGGUACUGUGAAUGUCACUGCUGCUUUUGUUAUCAAUCAAAUGCAUUACUGCUCUUCUUGUUUUGCCCCAAUUAAGUAUUAACCCCUUUGUCAUUUUCUUUAUUAACAUCACCUUAAACUAAAUUGUUAGCUCAUAUAGUAAAACCAUCACAAAAUCUUAAUGAACAAAAAAUAAUAAUAAGUCUACGAGUACAGAUCUUCCGAUGCUCUUUUCGUUUGCUCUUCCGAGUAAAGAUUUUGAUUUUUUGCUUAUGAAUAACUAUCCAUAACGUGAGCUGAAAACUUUCAUUGUUGUUCCCUAAACUGGAAAACACAAUUAGAAAAUUGUAGAGAACUUAUAAUGGCCGAAAAUUAUUGAUUGGAGAUGACACCACACGUUCUAAAAUUGUUAGAGCUCAGAACCUAUUUUUUUUUUUUUCAGAGCCUAGUUUUUUCUCUUACAAAAAUGUAGUCACCUCUAAGGAAACGUUUUGAUGGUAUAUCUUUUUUAUUUUCCUUAUAUUUUAAAUCUUGAUUAAUAUGUUUAUUUAGAUCUAAUCCUGAUUUAAAAUUCCGAAAGACCCUUAUGUUAUUUUAAAUCUUAGGGAACAAAUUUUACACAUUGGAUACUCAGGACUGGAGGGCCAAUAUUGCAAUAAUCAUAACCUAUCAGGGGUCAAAUUGAAAUUUGGCCAAAAGCAGCACUAGCUUCUCCCCACAUUCCCAAAUCACAUCCAAGUUAGCCAGAUAACUCAGCUAAGGAUAACCAAUUGCUCUGAACUUACCAUCCACAGGAAAGCAAUGAUAACAAGAAGAUGGAAGACACAAGAUGGGAUCAAAGAAUCCAAGCAUUAACACACAUAAUAACCAAUCCCACAACUAAACCAUCCUUGGAUUCACAAAUCUUCAUUUCUAGCCAAGUCCCAUGUUACCUUAACUGGGACUAUCCACCAAUUCUGUGCACCAAAUAUUCCACUAACACUUUCCCUUCUGUGAAUCUGAGAUGGGCUCUUUCAGUUUUUCUGAAAAGGGUUUCAAGACUUGGGGCACCUGAAACUUCUUGGAGGUCCAAAUGCCCAUACCAACAACCCCCUCCAUUGAUACUGGCCAAGGGAUUAGAGGAAGCUCACUGGGGAGAUGAACAGAGGAGACUGUAUGUGAGGAAAAGGUUUAAAAGGAGACAUUUAGGAAGUGAUGUUCACCCUUUGAUUCCAUUUAUUGUGCCUAAUCUCUUGUUGUUCUCGCUUUUGCUUUGGAACCCAUUUCCAAUUGAUGGGACAGAUUCUUGAAUUUUGGAGCUUUUUUGUGAGGGGUUGGUUGUUCCUAGUUUUAUUUACUUUAGUCCUAAUUGCAAGUUUUUCUUUCUUUUUCCUGAUAAAGAUUUGGUAAAGAAAUUAUAUCAAGUUAGUAAAUUUGGAAGUAUUUGCAUAGAAGAAUUGCUUAUGUAUUGGAUAAAUGCUUCUCUUUUUUAACUUCAGCGAAGAUGUUCAAAGUUUCAUUAGUGCUGCUUUAUGUAGAAUGAAGCUUUGGGAUUGAAGUCAAUGUUGAUACACAAUAAAAGGAUAGUCCGGUGCGCUAAGCUUUCGCUGCCUGCAUGAUCUGGUAAGGCCCAGGGCCGGACUAAGCUUCCGCUGUCUGCAUGAUCUGGGUAAGGGCCAGCGCCGGACUACAAGAUUGAUACAUAAUAUACCCCUAAUACUUAUGACAAAACAAAUUGUGACUAUGUAAAUUGCAUUUUCAAUACUGAAAAUGCAUUUUGGACCUCAUGGGUGUACUCGCGUCGAACUUUGGCGAACUAUAGCACGCCUUUAAGUGCCAAGAAAAUAUGCUGGAGAAUGCCCAAUGCACCGUUGAAGCUAAAACGGAUGGAUCAUAUUUGGGUAGCUUGAGUGAAAGUGGUGAAGGUAGUAUACUUAGGAAUGAAACAGGAGAGUUUUUAUAUGCAUUUUGUGUGGUUUGGACAGCAAACUAACAAUCAAGAUUAAGCUUUGGGUUGUUGCAUGGAAUGUAGUGGUGUUUCGACUAUGGCUUGAUUAUAAGAAUAGAAGUCAUUGGAGAUAGUAAUGUUGUAACAAAAGUUUGGAGAAUAUCUUGGCACAUUGAUUUCUUAUUAUGUUAUACAAAUAUUAUGUUUGUUAUAACAGAUGUCAUAUUUUAUUGUUCACUGUUAUAGGAAAGCAGUUGGCUAAGUAGAUUGUUAAGAUUGAAUUUUGGUAUAUAAUCUUUCUCAAGCAAGCAUCAUGUGUCUAUUAAGGCCAUGCUGAGACAAGAUAAGAUUGGAUAAGUACAACAACUUUGAACAUUCAAUUCAAAACCUUUACAUAAUUAGUGAAAUAACCCAAGACUUUUUAUAAACUUUUUUUGCACACUGUAUAGGGUAAAAUUAGUUCGUAUUAAAUGGCCGUAUAAUAGAACACGUGGAACCGGAAAAAAAAUUGAAAAACGAGAGAUGUGGAAAUCACGAUUGGGAGCAGCAAUUCCGGUUGGCACCGGAAAAUUCCCGAAGGGAAUGUUGCUCAUGAAGACAAAUGAAUGCGUCACCCGAUAGCAUUCAAUAAAAAAUAUUCUGCAGUAUUAAAUACAUAGUCCGUUAUAGAGAAUAUGACAUUCAUACUCUGUCGUUACACAUUCUUCAAUGACCCCCAUAAGUGUCAUUUAAGAGAGACUUGAUCCUAGGACCUUGUUCCCUAGGUGCAACUAUAAAUAUUGAAUUCAACAUUCAUGAGGAUAAUUUUUUUGACAAGCUUAUGCUAUACAUUAUUCUAAGCUCAAUAACACCUUAUUUCUUGUUUAUUGGUAUUAUUAUUAUUGUCUUCGGAAGCUCUGCUCCCAAGACCAAGCUGUCUGUUGUCUCAUCUCAAUUUCAAUGCUAAGUCUUGCAUUUUCAUUUAAUUUAUUUAUCAUUUUUGGAUCAAAUCGAUUCGCUUGUCUAUAAACCACGUGAAAAUUCAACUGUACUGUUUUACGGGUAAACACACACGCUAGACCAAUAUUAGAGAUUUGGAGGCUAGUAGUACCAACAAAGAAAACACAGUAUAACAGUUGCUGGAAAACAGAUUAGAAGCAUCCUUAUAUCCAAUUACUUUUCUUCCUUGUUAUGCUGUUGUAGCAGAUAAGAGACAAGUAUAAGUGCAACAACUGAACAUUAGUUGAAGGCAACCAAACAAUUGAACAAACAUCCAACUUGUUGUAAUUUGUAUGGAUAUCAUACUUUCCAUUUCAGUUAAGGAAACGUGAAGCUCUAAUAGUGACCGUAGCAUGUGAUUUUUGUUGAAUUAAGACAGAAAUGCACAUGCUCUUAAAUAAUGAAAUAGACAUGCCGCAGAGCAACUAGCUAACCUCAACCAAAUCCUCCAUUUCAUUGUCAAUUUGUCAUCUGGUCUUAUCUUUAUUUUAUUAAUUGACGGGAACUUCUACUAAUUUUGAUGCACCAAUUUUUGAAUUUGAGGCCUUCUCCAUGUUUCGAAUAUGAUGUUUUUUUUUAAACGUAUAUGAUGCUCCUGUCCUGUUUCUUUCCCUAAUCGUUGCGCAACCUACAGCUACUUUUAGUUUGAAAGGAUGUAUUUGAUGGAGCAAAUAGUUUUAGGAAAAAUGACAUUAUAUAUCCCUUUUAAAAAUAAUAGUCGAAUAUAUAUAUAUAUAUAUAGGUAUGUUAUAUAUAUAAAAAUAUACAAAUUUAUACACUUUUUAGACUACUAGACAUAAAUAGUUUCGAUCAUAGGCUAAAAAUAAUCUUUGCUCACAGAUUUAUCCCAACUUGCUUCCCUUGUUAGUGGUAAUUAGUGAGAAGAGAAAAUAACGUUAUUCGUCCCUCCUUGGUAGAGUACACAAAAAAAAAAUGUGUUUUAAGCUUUUUUUGUACCGCUUGAAACAAAAUUUUGGUUGGUACUUGGUACUUACCUAAAAGGUUGACAUUACUCAAAUGGUCAUUCAACUAUUCCAAAUUAUUUACUAAAGUCACUUUACUUUCGCUUGUAACAAUAAUGCACUCAGAAAGUCAUUAAACUAGAUUUUCCAAAUGUUGGAUUGCCAAAUACCUAUUUUACCAUCUAAAUUAUAAACAUUUAUCUUCUUUUUAUUUUUUUUAAACUUUAAUAUUAUAAUUUUCCUUUUUUAAUUUAUAUUAUGGACUUACCUAUAAAAUAAAUAAAUAUUAUUUAUAAAUUAAAAACUAAAAAGUAUUUAAGCAUAUAUAAUGCUGAAUAAAAAAAAAAUGAGAAUAGUAAAAAUUAAUUAGAAUAAUUUGUUAGUAAUAAUAAUUUUAGUAUUAACAACAAAAAUUCAAAAUUUUAAUUUCACAAUUCAGGAUGAAAGAAAAUAAAGGUUAUAAAAUAUAUAUUCCAUGCACGUAAUAAAAAAAUAAUUAUUUAAACAAAGGUAAUUUUAUAAUAUACAUUAUAUAUUUUUGAAAGUUAUGCUCAGUUAUAUUAUUAUGUUUCUACCAACUUUCCGACGACACAAAGUUAUGUUACCGAAAAUCAUGGGGACUAUCUGUAUAGAGUAAAAUAUGCUAUGUUAAGUCGUGCAUGGAAUAUAUAUAAUAUAAUUGAGCAUAAUUUUCAAAAAUAUAUAAUGUAUAUUAUAAAAAUACUUUUAUUUAAAUAAUUAGUUUUAUAUUAAGUGCAUGAAAUAUAUAUUUUACAACUUUUAUUUUCUUUCAUUCUGAAUUGUGUAAAUAUAUUUUUGAAUUUUUAUUGUUAAUACUAAAUUAUUAUUACGAACAAAUUAUUCUAAUUAAUAUUUUUUACUAUGCUUAUUAUUUUGUUAUUCCAGUAUUAUAAAUGCUUAAAUACUUUAUUUUUUAAUUUAUAAAUAAUACUUAUUUGUUCUACAGGUAAGUCCAUAAUAUAAAUUAAAAAGGGAGAAUCAUAAUAUUAAAAAGUUAAAAAAAAGAUAAAUAUUUAUAAUUUAGAGAGUAAAAUAGGAAUUUGGAAAAUCUAGUUGAGUGAACUUCUGAGUGCAAUAAGUAUAGUUCAAUAAGUAUAGUUCAGUGACUUUGUUGUUACAAACAAAAGAAAAGUGACUUUAGGAGAUAAUUUAAGAUAGUUGAGUGACCAUUUGAGUAAUUGACUCUGUGGUUUCCCGAAAUUGAUUAAUUAUUUUCAGUUCCUCAAUCCUUAAGAGAUUGUAACGAAGCAUCCGAAAUCAAAAAUAACCUCUCAGAAAAUCCCUCUGUUCAACUCUUUGUAAUAGCGCCGAAGCCCAUUUAAAUCUCUAGGAAUUUGCUCAAACCUUAAGAGAUUGUAACGAAGCAUCCGAAAUCGAAAACACCCAUUUCAAGACGCUGCUUAGCCUUAAGACUGUUUUAAGCAAGUACGUCUUAAUCCCAAUUAGUUUGAAAAUUCUGAAACUCUUAAUGGGUAUUUAGAGAAAGUGGGAAAAGCUUGAAUUUUUAUCAAGAACGGGAAUUUUAUAAAUUGUUAAUCAACAAAAAUCGAGGAGGAAAAGGAGCAAAAUAAAAUGGGACAUACAAGCAUUUGGAUAAAUCAAACUCUCACCUCUGUCAACAGCUAUGAUGUAAUCACAAGGGAAGAAAUCCAAAUAGUACAGUAUGAAUGACAUUGGGAAAAUAGAGAAAGAUGAAUUCUAAUGACUAACCAAUUCAGAUGUGCAGGAGAACGAAGCAUCUGCCAAAAAUUAACCCUAGAAGCUCGAAAAGAUAGAUGUGGAGAAGAAGAAGCCAAUCGCAUAAUAACACUUCUAAGUAGAAAUAUUGACAAGAUUAGGGUUUCGAGUAGAGUUGAGAUUAUAAGAUGCAACGCUGGUGCAAGAGUUUAGUUACGUGGAAUUGUUUUAUUUAGUUAAAUGUUUAAAUUUCUUAAUUUAAAAUUUGAAUUUGGAAGCCGACUAAGUUCUUAUUUAGAAAGAGGUUGUGUCUAUUAAGAUAGGUUCAUUAAGAUAUAACUAUGUUAUCGAUUUGCUUGAGUAUUUUACCAAAAUAUUAUUUCUUUUCCUUCUUUAAUAUGUAUCUCCUCUCUAUAAUAAUAAUAAUAAUAAUAAUAAUAAUAAUAAUAAUAAUAAUAAUAAUAAUAAUAAUAAUAAUAAUAAUAAGAAGAAGAAGAAGAAGAAGAAGAAGAAGAAGAAGAAAGAAAGAAAGAAAGAAAGAAAGAAAACGCAGAGAAGAAGCAAUUAUCUAAAGUUAACCACUAGAAUAUAGAAAGAUGUGAGAGACUCUCUCUCUAAUUUUUUUUUCCAUAUCUCUUACACAACAAACGUUUACUAACUCACUAGCCAUGAAUAAUCAUAUACCACCAUGCCUCUCUACUAACAAUCUUAUAGAACCACCGGAUAUAGGAAAUAUGCAAAUUGACGAUAAAACAAACAUCAAUCCUUCACCCUCUUUCCUUCAAGCCUUAAUCUCUGAUAAACAUCAACCAGCAACCCCGUAUAUCCAACAGUGUAUUACACACUCUUUUGACCUACAGGAUGAGAGUAUUGCAACCAAUCAAGAUGAAUACGUAUUUAUUCCUAUUACUGCUGAAGAUAAAUGUCGUUUAUAUAUGCCUUGGCAAUACUCCGUAAUUGUUAAGCUUUUUGGUCGAAAAAUAACCCAUCAAAUCCUGCAUGCUAAAUUGAUUGGACUAUGGAAGCCAUCUAAGGAUCUUCCUUUAAUAGAUUUGGGCUCAAUUUCUUCUUGAUCAAAUUUCAAAAGGAGGAAAAUAUGAUUAAAGCACUGCAUGAGGGACCCUGGUUUGUCUUAAAUCAUUUCUUGUCUGUUCGAAAAUGGGAGCCUAAGUUCCAUGCAUCGUCUGCGCAGCUUACGUACUCAGCUAUAUGGGUUCGUCUCCCAGAGCUUCCAACAUAAUUUUAUGAUGAGCAAAUUCUAACAAAGAUGGGUUCUAAACUAGGUAAAUUAUUAAAGGUUGAUGCAUCUACUUCCUCUAUUACUAGGGGAAAGUAUGCUCGGAUAUGCAUAGAAGUGGCCCUUGAGAAGCCUCUUAAAACUCAUCUACUCGUUGGACACCACUACCAGAUGCUACUCUAUGAGGGACUGAAUUUGUUGUGUGAAAAGUGUGGGAGAUUUGGACAUCCCAUAAUAAAUUGCUACUAUAUACUAUCACUACCUCCACACUCCAAUACAAUUUCAAACACUAGUUCCACCCUUAACAUAUCAACACCAGAAACAGUCCAAGAAUAUGCAUGGAAGAUAGUUGAGUUUCCAAAGAAGCAACUACCACGAUAUAAUCCUAACCACCAUCAAACCAACACUAGGGCGGUGCCGGAGGCAGUCAAGCUAGGGCAACAUCCAAGUCUCAUUCUAUUUUUGAGCAGGGCCAGGCUUCUACGACUAUUGGGCCUAUCAUUAGGCCUACUGCUAGGCCUGCUGAGGCUCGUACAAUCUCCAACACUAACCCACUUGGUAAUAAAUUUGACAAAUUGGCAUAUCUGCAUGAUUCUACGGAAUCCAAUAUGGAUUUAGACACCUCCUCAUUAAUGGGCCCAAAAAUUAAUAAUUCCACAAUACACAAGCCCAAAAACAAUUCACUAGAGGAUAAUUUUACAAUAUGCCGGUCCUUUCCACCAAUCACAUAAAACAUAUUCCUAAUCAUAACUCAUUAUUAUAUACUACUCCUCUAAUAGACUUAACUUCUCAGGCCAUGCCUCACUCCUCUUACACGCCACCUAAGGAACUCAAUAUAGAGCAAUAACCCUUUAACACUUCUAUCCAUUUGCCAAGAUGACAAAUCUGCUUCUUCACAUGACCAGUUUAUUUCCCCUACACUACACGUUGAUAGCAGCAAAGCAAAUUUUCAUGCUACAGUAACCUACGUCCAACAUCAACCUAGCCAACCUCAAUUCCCAUACACACAAAAUGAUUAUUUUCCAUGUGAAUCUACACAGAAGAUCUCCUCUACUUCACAACAUAUUCCUCUAAAUCCAGAAAAACUUGUACAACCUUCUAACAUAUCAACUUCACCCCAUACUCCAACAGAUAGUAACCAUGCAAUGACCAACCUUUCCACCAACUUCAAACAACACUUACCUGAGAGAUCUGGACAACAAUCGUUUCUUCUAGCUGCCAAGACUGAUCAUGCAAGGCCCUCAAUUACCACACAUAAUAACUCCAUUAGUGUACACAUCCCAGCAAACCACGAUGGACCUUCCACUCCAGUCGUGGUUAGAGAUGGGUUUACAAGGCCAUGCAUUAGUCUUCACAAUGGAGAUCAACAACCAAGAAGUUGUUCUCCUACUUCAAAAUCCAAUGCACUUAGCAGAAAUAGUAAUAGAGGGGAUGAGGUUAGGGAUGGAAGCAUAUGCUCAAAACCAAUGGUACAAUACUCAAACUCCCUUCCUACUGGAGAACCAAACAUCGAUAUCAAACCCACCACAGUGAACCUACCCAAUACCUCAUCCAAUUCCAACACUCAACUCAACAACCAUUCUACUGCCUUUCUAUCCACCACAUCACAUGGGGAAAAUCUAUGCACCAUGGUUCCAGAACCUAAACUCCUUCAACCCACUAUCCUCAUACUUCACUCCCAACAGUCCCAUAGAGAUAUUGACACCUAUGGAAAGCCCACAACAUAUUCCACCUCCAUCUCCCAACGUACUAAAUGUAGACACAAGGCAAGAGUUAGCUCAGAUCUUAAUGGAGCUAAGGGAUACAAGGACGAAGUUCCUAUGGUUAAAGGUUAUCCAUCUUUACAACCUAAAAGAAGAGUACGAAAAAAAGUUCAUUCUAAAGUGUCCUCCGGACAUGACCACAUGCAGUCUAAACUUUUGAGUAACAAACAAUCCAGUGGCAGGGAAAUACUCAAUGGUGGUCAUUCCCACACUUCUUCCUCCUCCUCCAGUAUUGGAUACUCAGGGUCAGAUGACAACCUAUGUUGUCACCCCUCUAGUUCCGACUUCCAUGAUCACCACUCCUCAAAUUAGUAUCAUGAAUUUCAUAGUUUAGAAUUGUAGGGGUUCUCAUAAUCCGGAGUUUAGACGUCAUUUUAGGUCCCUAUUAGAUAAUCAUAGGCCAACCUUAGUGAUCCUUUUGGAAACUCACAUGCAUGAUCAUGAGAGACUUCAUGAGGAUUUUGGGUUCUCAAACAUGUCCCAGGUUCCAGCUAAUGGGUUAAUUGGGGGACUACCUGCCUUUUGGCAUGAAGCUCUCAUCACUGUGGAAGAAUUAUCUAUGUCUGAACAGGAGAUCCACUGCCUCGUUCAGGUGCAUUACAAUACCCCUAAAUGGAUCUUAUCAGCUAUAUAUACGAGUAACUCUUAUCAUUUACGUACACAGCUUUGGGAAAACUUAAUGAAAUUACAUGAUUACUAUAAUAUUCCUUGGCUUAUAGGAGGUGAUUUUAAUGAUAUAUUAUAUCAAAGAGAAAAAUUUGGUGGUUUACCUAUUAGUACCAAUAGAGCGGACAAAUUUAUUAAUUGCGUUAGCUAUUGUCAAUUAAUAGAUCUAGGAUACAAAGGAAGUCGUUUUACAUGGACUAAUAAGCGAAAAAAUGGACACACUAUCCUUGAAAGACUUGAUCGUUUCAUGGCCAACUGUGAUUGGAUAAACAUGUAUCCUGAAGCUAGGGUACAUCAUUUACCUAGGACUUAUUCUGACCAUUGCCCCCUCUUAAUAAAAUUAGAACCUUUAAUACAUCUCAAUAGGAAAGUCUUCAGAUUUGAAACUAUGUGGGUGUCACACCCACAAUUUUCAGAAUUAGUAACAACAACCUGGGCUAAUAAUGAACCUCUUUUAGAAACAACAAACCAUUUUCAGGAAAUAGUUAAAAAUUGGAAUCAAUUAACAUUUGGGAACAUUUUUAGUCGUAAAAGGAAAUUACUAGUUAGGUUAGCAGGGAUACAACGCUCAAUACAUUAUCCUACUAGUAUGUUCCUUCAGAAUCUGGAAACUCAGCUUACUUCUGAAUAUAGUGGUAUACUUAGAAGUGAGGAGGAAUUCUGGAAAUUAAAGUCUAGAUUAAUGUGGUUGAAUAAUGGUGAUGCUAAUACAAAGUUUUUCUACAUGUCUACUUUAAAUAGACGUCGGAGAAAUGGAAUAACUUUUUUACAGGACUCAGUUGGCAACUGGUGUGUUGACCAGAACGAGAUUCAUGAUAUAAUCCUAAAGCACCUUUCUAAUCUUUUUACUACAGGAAUAUUUUCGUACUAUUCAUGAAUCCAAUAACUAUAACCUUAAUCCAAUAGAUUUAAUUUCCUUAGAAGAACCUUUACAAGAGGCUGAAAUUACUCAAGCUAUACAAAGCUUUGGUCCAUAUAAGGCACCGGGUCCAGAUGGUUUUCAUCCUUUUUUCUAUCAAAGAUUUUGGCCUCAGGUAGGACCUAAGGUGAAACAGUUUUGCAAAAAUACUUUUCAUACAUGUCUUAUACCUCCUUCAUUAAAUCAGACCUACAUUUGUCUUAUUCCUAAGGUAAAGCAUGCUCAAACACUUCAGCAAUAUAGACCUAUAAGUCUUUUCAAUACCACUUACAAAAUUAUAACCAAAAUUAUUGUUAAUAGACUUAAGCCUAUUAUAUAAAAAAUAAUAUGUCUCACACAAACUAGUUUUCAACAAGGUAAACAAGCUUCAGACAAUGCUAUAAUAGUUCAGGAAGCCCUUCACCAUUUUACAAAAAUGAAAGGAAAGACUGCCUAUAUGCUUCUCAACCUAGACCUGGAAAAGGCUUUUGAUCGCUUAGAAUUGUCUUUUAUUAACAAAACUCUUAUCUUCUUUGGCAUAUUACAAAAAUUAUCAGGUUAAUAAUGUCAUGUGUUACUACGACUUCAACUUCUAUACUCAUUAAUGGCUCAUCCACACCUUACUUCACUCCUUCAAGAGGAAUUCAUCAGGGAGGCCCUUUAUUACCAUACUUAUUUAUUAUGUACAUGGAAAUAUUUUCAAAAUGCAUAAAUCUUUCAGUUGAUUAUUUACAAUGGCAACCAAUCAGUAUUGCAAAGAAGGGACCAAUGCUAUCACACCUAUUCUUUGCAGAUGAUAUCAUUCUAUUCUCCCGAGUAACCACUAAAAGUUGUAAUGCGAUAAUUGAUGUCUUAAAUCAUUUUACAGACUGUUCAGGACAGAAAAUUAAUUUUGAAAAAUCAAAGAUAUUUUUUUCUAAGAACUGCGCCACUGAUAAUAAGAAUAUGGCUAUGGCUUGCUUUCAACUCAAACAAGGUAUUAGCUUUGGCAAGUAUUUAGGUUUCCCAAUUUUUCAGGAAAGACAAAAAAAGAGCGACUUUCAAUUCUUACUAGAUAAUUUUAAAUAUAGUCUAUCAGGUUGGAAAACGAAUUUCUUAACAAUGGCUGGAAGAGUUACUAUGAUCAAAUCUACCCUUAAUAAUCUUCCAAAUCAUGUCAUGCAAUACAUACAAAUUCCGUCAAAUAUUGUUACAAAAAUGGAUCAAUAUCAACGUAACUUUUUGUGGGGAACAACUGUUGCCAAAAAGAAAAUGCAUCUUCUAAACUAGAAAAAAAAAUUACCACUCCACGAGAAAUAGAGGGUCUAGGAAUCCAAAAUUUAAGACAAAAGAAUACUGUAUUGCUAGCAAGUCUAGCAAGGAGAGUAUUCCAUUCUCGUCAACAGCUUUGGGCAAAAAUCUUAAUUAAUAAAUUUGUUCAUCGAGUUCCUUCAUCAUAUUUCUCUACAACCUGGCGUAAUAUAUUACAAGGUUGGACAAAUUUCCAACUUGGUUUAAAAUGGAAUAUUGAAACUGGUAAAAACAUAAAUUUUUGGCACGACUGUUGGAUUAAAAAUAGAUUAACUCUUCGUUCAUUAAUUAAUGGUCCAUUACCUUGCUUGCAUCAUAAGAUGACUAUUCACGAUAUUUAUAACGAGGGUUGGAACUGAGAUCUUUUACCUUUUGACCUACCCAAGGAUAUCCAGAAGCUUAUCAGAACUCAAUACAUUUCUAGAUAUAAUAUUACUAAUGAUAGCAUUUACUGGGCUUUAACUUCUAAUGGAAAAUUCACGGUCAAUUCUAUAUAUAAGGCUCUAGAAAAUAAUACUGAUAAUAAGCAUAAUAUAGUACCAACAUUUUGUUGGAUAUGGAAGCUUCCAAUACACCCUAAGAUUAAAUAUUUUAUUUGGCUUCUAAAUCAUAAUAGAUUGCCUACUUAUCAAUUUCUUCAGCAUCUUAAUAUUAUUUCGAAUUCUGCAUGUCAAUAUUGUCACAAGGAAGAAGAAUCAGCCACUCACAUUUUCCUCAAGUGUGAAAAUGCUGCUGCAUAUUGGCAUGAAUUAGGAAUGAGGAGCUAUGUUAAAAUACUUACUAACUUCAAUAUGCCACAUGAAUGGCUUACUAAAUUAGUUAAUUUUAAAGACAAAAAAUUUCCUCAUAACAUUAAUUCACAUACUUAUGUGCCUUUGAGUCGUUGGAAUAUCCGGACCACUAGAAGUAAAAAUAUUUAUGAACACUUGCAUAAACAAGUUAGUGUCAACUUCACUACUCAAUCGGCUAUGGAAUUUUGUUAUAUUACUUCUUCUGCUCAUAAAAUACAAAGGCAUGUAAGAACUCCUUUAAAGUGGCUACCUCCAAAUCCUAAUAUCUAUAAGCUAAAUACGGAUGGUUCGAAUUCAACAACUUUGAAUAAGAAUGACAUUGAUGGAGUAAUUCGGAAUCAUAAUGGAGACUGGAUUCUAGGGUUUUGGGGGUAACAUUCCAUCGCAAUCCACUCUUUCAACUGAGGUGUAUGCAUUACUACAGGGACUUACUUUGGCUAGGCUUCAUAAUCUAAUACCACUUCAAGUGGAAAUUAAUGCCAAAUAGGUAAUUACAAUACUAGUUAAUGAUAAUCUACUGUUUGCCAAUCUAUUACAUGAUUGCAGGCACCUACUAGGGAUGCUCCAUGGUUUGCAGCUUACACAUGCGUACAGAGAACAAAAUAGGUUAACUAACAAACUAGCAAGUUUGGGAAGUUUUUUGGAAGGAACUAAUGAUAUAGAAGUUUUGCACAACCCACCACCUUUUGUUGAGCAAAUUUUGGAAGAAGACAAGUUAGGACUGUCAGGAUUCCGUUUGAUUCCACAGAAUGUAGAAGAUGUCAAGAGCAAAUAACUACAGUGCAUGGAAGGAACCUCUAUAGUCUUACUUCAGGCAGUGUCGGAGGGUUACGUAUGGAUAAAUCUAAUCCUAGUAUUUGUAAUACAGUAUCUGAUAUUACUCCUAACUUACUUGGCUCUAUGCCUAGUGCUACUACAAGAAAUGUGGUUUGUAAUAUGGUGCAGUAUCCGCAUCAACUACUCUAUACGCAUGUUUAGUUAUGUAUAAUAGUUAUCUUUAGUACCAAAAAAAAAUCUCCUCUCUCUUUUUUCCUUCUUUCUAGGAAGAAUAUAAUUACCAAAUAUGAAAGUGGAGCUUAUGUGAAUAGCUGAAAUGAAAAUAUUCUAAUUACUGCGAUAUUAUCUCCUCGAUUGACUCCUCCUAUAAUUAUUUAAAGACCACAAAACUUUAGAAACUCCAUUGAUCAAUUGUCCAAAUACUUUUCAUAUUUCUAAUUUUAGCAGAGAUAUAAUAAUUUCAAUUUUUUAGUAAUUAAAAAACCUAAUGGACGAAAAAAAAGAGACCUACUGGACUUCCAAUUUCCACGGCCGCUAAUCACGCACCAAAUUACUAAACCCAAGAAAAAGAGAGAAAAAAAGAGUGUGAAAAAGAAAGAUAGCGAGAGAGUUGAUUGGUCAAACUCAGGGUCCUUUUGUUUGGCUUUUUCUUUUUAGUUUUCUUCUUGUGAAUGGAUUGCUCGAUCAAAUAUUACAAGGUUGACAAUAUAUUAGUAUUGUUUACUUAGUUUAAGUGAACUAAUUGUCCCCUUUCUGUCGUCUAUCCCAAGAGAUCUGGCAUAAUCACUCCGUUAAUUUCUAUUGUACAUGUUUCUUAUUUAAUUUGUCCAUUUACAGUGGAGCUUGAGUAGGGCAAAAUUUUAAUUAUUGAUCUUUUGACCGGUCGAAAAUCGGACAGCUCGAUGCAUUAAGCUUUUGCUACGUGCAGUGUUCGAAAAGGUCCCGAUUGAAGAUCAUGGAUUUGAAAUCAAUAGAAGAACUUCAAAUAUCAUUUUAUUUUCGCAAGGACUACAGAAGAUCUUUUUCUUCUUUUUGGCUUGGUUGGGGGUUGGGGGGAGGGGGGGAGGACGAUAAUAUUUUUCUUUUUAAUCACAAUGAAUAUUUUGUAAUUGUAUUUCUUAAAAGGAAAAACGAAAGUAGAAAAUCAAACAAUCGGUAUAUUUUUAAAUUAAUUGUUUAAGCAUUGGUUAUCUAAAAUCAGAAGAAACAAAGAUCUUUUAAUUAAUUUUAUUGACUUUUGGAAAAUUUUGUUCACAAAUACCAUCACUCCGUGUCUCUACAGUUUACGUGGUAAGUCUCAAUCAGAUUUGUUGUUAGAACAAAUAGAAAUGAGCAUAUGUUAAUAUUACAAAUAAGUUGAAACAUUUAGGGUCUCCAACAUAAUAUACUGGCGUAUUUUCCGGGUUUUAAACAGUAUUUUUGCUCAAAUUUAUCUUUACAUGAAAACUGGCUAAAUUUCGAUUACUUUUGAAAUUGGGCUAUUUUUGAAUGACCUGUUGUAAAUCUGGCUAUUUUUUAAUUUCUCCUAGGCUUGAUUAGAAGGUAAAAAUUGCACGGGACGCCCUAUUUGGUCGCCCCCAUUUAACAUAUACUCAUUUUUUUAAAAAAGUUUUAACUUGUACCCACUCUUUAAACAACUUCAGCCCUCUUUCUCAUCUUUCUUCUCCUCCUUCAUCAUCAUCAUCAUCAUCAUCUUCUUCUUCUUCUUCUUCUUCUUCUUCUUCUUCUUCUUCUUCGUUCUUCUGUUGCUGUUGGUGUUGCUAUGAAACUUCAGUUCAUGGGAUGAUUGACAUAAGUAUGUUUAUCAGAUUAUUUAAAAAUAAAUUAUAAAUAAUUACGUAAGUUAGUAGACAAUAAUUUGUGAAUAUUUCCACGUACGAAAAGUUUAAGGUCACACUUAGUGAUUCUUUUCAUGAUAAUUCUGUUCUUUUCACGUUUAUUGUUUCCAAAAAUUAUGAUUUAGAUACUGUUGGCAAUCUGAUUAUUUAUCAAAAAUUUCAGCUUAUAAAGUGCUGAAAUUUUUACAAAUGAACAAAUAACUUCAGCAUCUUCUGCUGAANNNNNNNNNNNNNNNNNNNNNNNNNNNNNNNNNNNNNNNNNNNNNNNNNNNNNNNNNNNNNNNNNNNNNNNNNNNNNNNNNNNNNNNNNNNNNNNNNNNNNNNNNNNNNNNNNNNNNNNNNNNNNNNNNNNNNNNNNNNNNNNNNNNNNNNNNNNNNNNNNNNNNNNNNNNNNNNNNNNNNNNNNNNNNNNNNNNNNNNNNNNNNNNNNNNNNNNNNNNNNNNNNNNNNNNNNNNNNNNNNNNNNNNNNNNNNNNNNNNNNNNNNNNNNNNNNNNNNNNNNNNNNNNNNNNNNNNNNNNNNNNNNNNNNNNNNNNNNNNNNNNNNNNNNNNNNNNNNNNNNNNNNNNNNNNNNNNNNNNNNNNNNNNNNNNNNNNNNNNNNNNNNNNNNNNNNNNNNNNNNNNNNNNNNNNNNNNNNNNNNNNNNNNNNNNNNNNNNNNNNNNNNNNNNNNNNNNNNNNNNNNNNNNNNNNNNNNNNNNNNNNNNNNNNNNNNNNNNNNNNNNNNNNNNNNNNNNNNNNNNNNNNNNNNNNNNNNNNNNNNNNNNNNNNNNNNNNNNNNNNNNNNNNNNNNNNNNNNNNNNNNNNNNNNNNNNNNNNNNNNNNNNNNNNNNNNNNNNNNNNNNNNNNNNNNNNNNNNNNNNNNNNNNNNNNNNNNNNNNNNNNNNNNNNNNNNNNNNNNNNNNNNNNNNNNNNNNNNNNNNNNNNNNNNNNNNNNNNNNNNNNNNNNNNNNNNNNNNNNNNNNNNNNNNNNNNNNNNNNNNNNNNNNNNNNNNNNNNNNNNNNNNNNNNNNNNNNNNNNNNNNNNNNNNNNNNNNNNNNNNNNNNNNNNNNNNNNNNNNNNNNNNNNNNNNNNNNNNNNNNNNNNNNNNNNNNNNNNNNNNNNNNNNNNNNNNNNNNNNNNNNNNNNNNNNNNNNNNNNNNNNNNNNNNNNNNNNNNNNNNNNNNNNNNNNNNNNNNNNNNNNNNNNNNNNNNNNNNNNNNNNNNNNNNNNNNNNNNNNNNNNNNNNNNNNNNNNNNNNNNNNNNNNNNNNNNNNNNNNNNNNNNNNNNNNNNNNNNNNNNNNNNNNNNNNNNNNNNNNNNNNNNNNNNNNNNNNNNNNNNNNNNNNNNNNNNNNNNNNNNNNNNNNNNNNNNNNNNNNNNNNNNNNNNNNNNNNNNNNNNNNNNNNNNNNNNNNNNNNNNNNNNNNNNNNNNNNNNNNNNNNNNNNNNNNNNNNNNNNNNNNNNNNNNNNNNNNNNNNNNNNNNNNNNNNNNNNNNNNNNNNNNNNNNNNNNNNNNNNNNNNNNNNNNNNNNNNNNNNNNNNNNNNGUUACGCGAAAAGGUGGGUACGCUUGGAAUUUUUUUUGCAAAGCGAGCACAAGUUAAAACGUGACUCAAAAAGCGGGUAUAGAUACAAAUGCCCCCAAUUAAACGCCUAUACAAUUUUACACGCACUAUUAACAGGUAAAAAAAAUUAAAAAUUAUUGUAUGAUACAUGUGUUUUAAAUUAAUUUAUGGGAGUAGUUAGUAUAACAACUCAUGUCUAAUUUGUGGCUCUAGGUAUCUUGUCUUGUGGUAACGUUAAUGCAAUUCUAGGAGUACACAGUCAAUCAAGCCAUAAUUUAUUGUAGGUCUAAGUCAUUAAAGGACAUGGCCUGCAACAAGGGUCCAAUCUACCAUACUACAUCUCUAACACUGUGAUGCUAUGGUCAUAAUUGUAUUUUGUAUUUAAGGUAGUGACUUAGCCAUCAAUAAGAUGAGCGCAAUAUAUGAAAGAUCAUAAUAUAAAUACUAGUAGAGACAAAAAGUGCUAAGUAAUCUCUUUAUAUCUGUUUAGUUACCCAAUAUUUGCGUUAGUUAGAAGUACUUGAUAUCCGGUAAAACAAUUUAGAUGCGCUCAAGUUGACAUGUUUACCAUGGUUAUAAAGAAAAGUCUGCAUUCUUUGAUAACGUCCAUCCCCUAGAAGACAAUGCUCCCUCUUAAGAACAAUGCUAUAGACUUUUGGAUUCUUAAUUUCUCAUAAAGUAUGCACAUGCAUCACUUUAAGAACAUAUAACUAACUCUACUGGACUUUUUGCACCAAUUCAUAAAUCUUGUUUAAUAUGAGUGGUUGAACUGCACACUUCCUAAUAGUCGUUUCUUUGAAAAAUUGGAUCAAAAUUUAAGUUCUUUUAUUUCUUUGGGGGCCGAUAAUAUGAUGAAGCAUUGAUUAUAAUUCUUCAAAUAGUUCAUCAACUUUUCAGCCAAGGUUCAUUAAUAGUUAAAAAUAUUUAUUUCUAAUACAACUAUAAAUAUAUACGCCAACAAUUUGUAGGUUGUGGUCGCCUUGAUCAUAAAUCCAAAUAACGAAUGGAGGCACCUAUCAAUACAUUUUGAAAUAAAUAUUAGUAAAUACAAAGUAGUAAAAAGCAGAAAAUGAGGCAGAAGAGGAAAAUAUAUUGAGUGGGAUGUGCCAUUAUUUUCCACCAACUCAACCGCCAAUUACUUCCCGACCCAUCCAAAUCCAAUAAGAAGUCCACCUUCUUUUUCUUUUAAUUUCCAUGUAUGCUUUUUUCGUAUCAAGCUCUUGGAGAAACACAUAAGAUAGCAAAUAAUUCGAUGCUAAAAGAUGAGAUCAAAGACUAAAAUUUUUCCAGAGAAAGAAAAAGAACUUUGUAAUCCCGAAUUAUCUUGAAAAACUUACCGACCUUAUUAUUUAAUCUCUCCUCUUAAAUUUCGGAUUGCUCUCAGUGCAUAAGUGGCCCGUCCUCUUUAAAUUAUAGGAAAAUCAUGCUUCAUGGAACUUCUUAGAACCACCGUCUAAAUUUUGACUCCGUAAGAGAAGUCUUAAAAAGAAAAUAGCCUCCGGCCAGAAUUUUGAAGUAUGCUCGUCCAAAAAUUGAAAAAUGAUUCUGGCAAUCGCCAAAAUUUCGAAGCACCAUGAAUUCAGCCACAAUACUGAUAAAAUCUAGUGAACGGUCACAAUUUGUAGCAAAAUUAUGACGAUCACUAGAUUUUUUAGCUUUGUGGCUGAAGAAUCCAGGGAGUGUCAAGAUUUUGACAUAAAUCCUAACAAUCACAAAACUUGUUGAAUUUCUUGAAUUUCUGGCAAGUAUGCUUUAAAAUUUGGCCCGGACUAUUUUUCGAAUACUUCUAUUAUCGGAUUGUUUACCUCGAAAAAUAUGAGUAACAAUUAAAGAUAUUUUUAUGGUUUUAAAGAUACGUGAUAUAUUUUAAUACUAGUGAUUAAACGAGUAAUAUUGAGCUUAAGUAAGAAAAAUUAAUGAACUAAAUCAGUGUUGCUGAAACAGUAGGGGGCUUCGAGCUCGUCUAUCCAAGGACCUCGAGGUUAGUUAAGACCAAAAAGGUAUGAACAAUAAAGUUGAAAAGUAAUUGUUGAGCACGUUAAACAAGAGAAGAAUAAGAAUGUUCUAUUAAUGUAAAAUGAUCUGAUCUUUACAAAAUGAUUGGGGUCCCUUUUUAUAGGAGGAGAAAACCCCAAUAUAGUACCUUGCUCAUAAAGGUAAAGAAUCUUAUUGGUACAAGUGUAUAACGGUCUAGUAUGGACCUGUACUAUUUCGUACAACCCUUAUCCUAUAAUUAAUUCCCGCAUCCACGUGUCCUUGAGAAAUUCCCUCUCUUUCUUGAUUGACUUCGAUAUUAUGAUGUCCUCGAUGCAGGUCGUGUCAGGCCUUUGAUCAGCUUCCUCGAGCUAGGUGUCCCUUAGCCGGAUCUUCCCCAUACCUCGAGUCUCCCGGACUCGAGCCUAUAGCCCAAUUUAAGACUCCAAAAUCAUACUCCUCGAUUUUGACCGUAUACAGAUAGUCCCCGCAUUUCUUAGAAUAAAAUGAUAUGAAAAGAUUCGAGCCUCGAUUUUCCCGAGCCUCUAGCGAUGACGUCAUGCUCGUGACGUAGGCGUUUACAAAGAUCGAAGCGUCCCGUCGGUUCAUCUCCCCAGAAGCAUUGAAUGUACCGCCGGUCCAUUUCCCCAAAAUCAUUGAAUGCGCCGUCGGUCCAUUUCCCCAAAAGCAAUGAAUGCGUCGUCGGUUUCGUCGUUGUCUCUCUAUAAAUAAGGGGUUACUUGGCUGAGCAAACUAUACUCAUUCCUUAUUCAUCAACUUUUAGCCCUUUCCCUUCUCUAUCUCUUCCUUUAAUCCCCUAUCUUUAUGGUUCAAAUCUCUAACCACAAGGUCAUAUGGCAACAAUUUUACCAGUUACGCCAUGACUCCAUUUUUUCAAAGUUUUACCCCACUAAGUGGGAUUAUAGUGGGUUGUUGUUGUUGUUAUUAUUAUUGUUGUUGUUGUUGGCUUGAGACAACGAGAGAGGGGCACCUAAAUCCUCCCAUAUCAGAAGAUAUGCGAACUUUAUAUUGCUGCUCAUCUUUCUUAACUUCAACCUGAUGUGGCACCUCGUUCUCUUUGCUUUCCGCGCAAUAAGGUGGCACUAUCAUCUACUUACUUUUGCAUCCCACACCGGUACAACGUCUCAAAAAGUGACUUCACAAUAGUUGUGCUGACAAAACCCAUACUCGCCAAGUUUUUCACCAUGCCACAAUUUCCUCUGAAGAUCGAGAUGGAGUCCCCGAGGAGGAGGUUCCCGAAGAUGUCACUCUCGAGGAUAUGCCCCCUAAAGUAGAUUAGAUUCUUAGCUUUUUGUUUUUUCUUCUUUGUUUCUGUGUAAAGGCCCCUCAUUGUUUUUGUAAACAUUUUUUGUCAAUAUAAAAAUUUCUUCAUUUUAUCUUCGAUUUGUGUGGAAUUCCAUUCUGCCUUUGUUUAUGAAAAAUUCGAGUGUAUAACUCUAAUGAUUAGUCUGAAUACUGGACCCGGAACAUAAUAAACCUUUAGGUUUUAAUCGACUAACACCUCUUAAGGUUCUAUGUUAAUCCUUGAGCUAAUCUUAGAUUGAUUCGGUGCGAGCUCGAGACACUGGGCUCCUGAGCCCGAGUUAAAUGAGAACAAGGUCUUGAAUUUAAAAUAAAUUUACCUCUUUUAGGCUUCAUAGAUGGCCCCCGAGUGAGAAUUUUCUCGAACUUGGGUAGCCCUUGGGCUUAAUAAUCGAACGAGUAUUUGCUUGAACUCAAAAUAAAGUUAACCCUUAGGCUACACAGGUAGUCCCCGAGUGGGAAUUCUCUUGAGCUCGGAUAGCCCUUGGGCUUAGUAAUCGAGUGAGUACUUGCUCGAACUCGGAAUGAAAUCAGCCCUUAGGCUGCACAGGUAAUCCCCGAGUGAGAAUUCUCUCGAGCUCGGGUAGCCCUUGGGCUUGGCAAUCGAGUGGGUAUUUUCCCGAACUCGACUUCUAUGCUGUCCUUAAUGAUUUUCGACAAAUUAAUUUCCGAUGCCUCGGUCCUAAUUCCAAUAUCAUGACAUAAGCGGUUGAAGUGACUGAAAAGUCGCUUUUUGUACGAUUCCCGAAACCAUUAAUUGAAGGCGGCUGACGGUCGACCUUUUGGCUUCCUUAGCACGCGUUAUAAAUAGAUAGAUCCCACAACCUUACAAACUUUAUUCCCAUAUUUCUUUUAAAGUCUCACUUAACCCUUUCCAAUUUCCUUGAGCUCUCCCUUUUCCUUUUUAAUAGCAUUUUUCAUUUUCCCGGAUCUACCGCAUAAAAAUGGCUAAAAAUUUUAAAUUUGUUCCUCAAAAGGAAAAAACUUUAUCAUCUUCUCGAUCGACUAAAAGUAAACUGGUAGUGCCUCCUAGUAUCGAGGAGUGUACUCCCUCGCCAUGUGAAAUAACAGACGAUUUUAAAAUUGAGAGACCUGUCUCGACACCAGGCUGAUGUGAGCCCAUGUCUCGAUAUGUUUGUCUGGUGACCGAGGCUGAGCUUAUGUAAGUAAAGGGGGAUUGCAAAUGGAAAAAAAGAAAGAAAUAAUGAUUCCUCCCUCCGAGGAGGACAUUACCACGUAUAAAACGGGCUACCUGAGCGUAUACACCUACCCAUUUACGUUGGACCCUGCAAUUCCGGCUCAGGGCCCUAUAAAUCCAAAUAUUCUUGACUUUUGCCAACGAUACCAAGUGACGCUCGGCCAGAUCUACCCCUCCUUACGGCAAAUCGUUUACUUAAUCGGGUUUUUCUCGAGCCAAAUCGAGGGGAUGUCCUUCACCCUCGAUCAUUUGAUCUGAUUGUAUAGUCCCCAACUUUAUCGGGGUGCAUGAUAAAGUUGCAACGCUGAUCGUUAAAUUCUCUGUUUGUUAGUAUCCAUGAGGACAAAAACCGUGGGUGGAUGAGCCGGUUUGUCCGAGUCAAGACCUAUGAUCUUAUUCUUGCUGAUUGGAUGUUGUUCCCCGAGAAGUGGAACAUGAAGCGUGAGUAUACCUUGCUUCCUUUUCUUUUCUCGACUUUAUAUUUUCCUUUGUCCUAAACUCUUUAUGUUGAUGUAGCCGCUGCUUGGUUUCCUGAUGGGGUCCCAGACGUCGAGCUGGGUCUGAAAGCUAGCCUCCGCCUCCCCUUACUCGGAGCGUUGCUGGCAAGACUUGUCCAAGGGUCGAUGGGAGGCAAAAAACCAUGGUAAGUUCUUCGUUUGUUUUCCAGUGUUUCUGUUACGGGAUGCUGAUCUUGAUUUUACUCAGGUCUCGAAAACGCCGUUGAAUUGAGGACGGAUCCAGCUGGUGAAGUGGAGGCUUUGAAACCUCCCAAAGAAAGAAAAAGAAGAAGGGAGACAUCUAAAUAUCCCUAGAAGCCAAAGAAGAACGUGGCUCGAAAGCCCAAGGCCGACACAUCGGCCUUAUCUCCGGAAGCGGCCUAACGCCUUCGGGAACAGGAGGAAGAAUUAGAUGAUGAUUUCCUAUUGGUAAAUUGUAAAAGAAAGAAUUCCAAUUCUUUAAAGCCUAUCGAGCCGGUGGCGGUCGAUGAGGCCCACUCUAAAGCUGAAGAGAUCUCCAAAGGGAGUUCGAACAAAUUCCCCGAACAAUUGCCCAAAAAGAAGGCGCUUCAUUUAGGGGAUCAUUCUGAGGGCGAGGCUAAACUUCCUAACCCGAGCCUCUCUAAAUAAAAGAAAAUGCCCCGAGCGGAUCACUCGGGGUGAUCAACGUGGAUGAUUCUCCCCUUGGCCCCAAGUUCUCCGAUGGAUAAAUCCAAGAGGCUGUGAAUAUGAGAUCUUCUAGAGCGCAAGGAAACCAUGAAGGGCAUGACAUCUUUCAAGGAUGCCUCGCAGGGCUUGAAGACGGCUCCAACCAAGAUGCUUUCUUCAUUUUUGAACAAGUAAGUUUUCUAUUUUUACGGCUACGCCGUUGUUUUAGUUGUUCUGAAUGUUCUUUACUCCCUCUUUAUGAAGGCUGCGGUACUCCAAAAAAGGGAAUUUUCCAAGUCCCAAGAUGAUCUUGCUCGGUGCGAGGUCGAGCUUAAGAAGACUUUGGAGGAUAGGGAUGUCGUCAAAGCCUUAUAUGCUAAAAAAGAGUUGGAGAUCCAUAAUCUUCGAGCUGAGUUGACGCGGGUGUGCCAAGAUCGAGCCGAGUAUAUUGGGAAGGUAAGAUAGUUCCCGAGAGUUUAUUAUGCACUCGUUUUGUUUUAGUAGCUAACAUCGUUAAUUUUGCAGUUCAGUCAGAAAAUCGAUGUGGAGGUGCAACUUUGGGAGGAGCUUAAGAUAAAAGAAGCCGAUGCCCUGGGGUUGAGGCGAGGUAUGGAUGAUCUCGCUUCUGAGAAGGAAAAUCUAAAAGAGCAGUUAGCUUCGUUUAAAUUCCAACUUCGAGGCGCGAAGGAGGAGAGCCUAGCUCGGGGCCUUGAAAUCGAGGAGCUCAAAAUCAGAUCUGCUGCUAUGCUGGCUAAGGCUAAAUCUGAUGUUGUGGCAAUUAUGGCUUCGUAUCGAGCUGAUGCCAAGGCAACUAAUGCUCGGGAAAGGGAUAUCUCUUCUACGACAGAGGUUAAAUUAGCAAGUGCCCUCGACCAUGUUAGACGACAAUCCCGGAGGAUGACCCUCGAGGAAAUACUUGCCCGCGACUUCGACCUUUCGGCCGAUAUUGAAGCGGAGAAGGCUUUAGAGGAAGAGGCGACCGUUCUACUUACCGAUGAGGAUGAUUCAGCCAGUGCCUCCGAGGAUGAAAGAGAUAGGGAUGAAGCCGCCGAGGAUGGGGCUCCCCAAGAUACGACUCCUGAAGAUGCAACUGCUAAGGGUGUGGCCCCGAAGUAGUUUUUAGGUUACUUUAUUUUGUUUCCUUGUAGGCCUUCCUUGUGUAAAUAUCAUCUUUUGGAAAUGUGAGGAGGACUUUUAUAUCGUCUUCGGCUAGUGCUGGUUUUAACAUGGCCUGUAUUCAACAUCGCCUUUAUUUAUGGAAAACUUCAUUUGAAUGCCGGUUCGAGGAUUAGUUUGGGGUAUUACAAACCCUUACAUAUUUAUAAUAAUUUUUCGAGCCGAGUUUAAAUCAACUCGUUGUUGGCUCAGGAUUUUGUGAACCUCGAGUACGAAUCGAAAUGAAAGCGGAGUCUUCGAACUAUAAGUUUUAGGCCCCUUAGCCUUUUGAGGUUGGCCCUUAGGCUCUUACAUAUCGUCCCUUAGACUCUUAUUUAUCGGCCAUUAGGCUCUUAUAUAUCGACCCUUAGGCUCUUAAGUUGGGCCUAUUUGGCCUCUUAGAAUGGCUAUAUAAUUUUUCCCUCAUUUUGGCUUAAAAGACUUAGUGGAAAUUAUGCCUUAGCACAUGUUUUUUUGCACCCAUAGGUUUUUUCCAGUAUUCUAGGUUGAUUGAAAAGAAGCCUUGAAUACUUGUUGGCCAUUCCUUAGGUAACAUAUAUGUGUUGCCUCGUUAAAAACCUUGCCGGUAAAACCCAUCUGGGACAAAAUCCGAGCUAAGGGAAAAAGAGUGCAACGUAUGCUCUAUAACCUACGACCUUCGUGUAGGAAGGGGCGUUCUCGAGAGCACGGGCCUUUGAGAGCCUCUAUUGUGCUAAUACUAUAAGUUCCUUUACCAAUGACUCUGAGGUCUUGCUGUCCGUGACCAUAUCUCCGAGGACCUUGGCCUGGUCGAUGAUGACUUCGGUGCCCUGAUUUGAUGUCGCCAAGGCCGAGAAGCUCAGUCGCCCCAACUCCAAGGGAACGCCUUUUUGGAAUGUUCUUUGUGUUUUAGUGCCCCGAAACGUUGACUAUUUCCUUCAAAUAAAUUAAAGUGGUCCUCUGCGUACAGGGACUUAACCAGCCAAAUCAUCAAUAUAAGUUUUAAUUAUUUUACAUAUUUAUCCAUCGAGCGGAAUCCCUGUCAUAUUGAAGCAAUGUGAUCUAUAUCGUCAACAAGAAACUAAAUGAGUUUUUUCCUGAGAGCGGGGACUACUUCUCGUUCUCAGGUGUACCUUUCCUUUCAGCGGUAGCAUCGGGCUUUUUGGGAACAACGAGGGUUCGAGGAUCUGGAGAACUCCUUUCUUCGCCUCCGAUUACCUAUUAUUUUGCUUCCGUUGAGGCGCGAAGCUGUGACUACUACUUUGCGACCUGCUUACCUUUGGAGGUCGAUGUCUCCGAGGUCAAGGGUUCCGGUAUCGGCACCACUUCCUCGAUUGUGAACAUCUUUUUUGCAGCAUGUUGUUCUCCGUGGACUGUUUUUAUUCCUUCCUCUGUCGGGAAUUUUAUCAUCUGAUGGAGAGUCGAAGGCACUGCCCUCAUAUUGUUUAUCCAUGGCCUCCCGAGAAAUGCGUUAUACCUCAUGUCACCUUCGAUGACACGGAAUCUGGUGUCUUGUAUGGUCCCAGCUACGUUUAUAGGCAAGAUAAUUUCCCCCUUCGUUGUUUUACUUGCCAUGUUGAAGCCAUUUAGCACCCAGGAUGCAGGUACAAUCUGAUUUUGCAAACCAAGUUGUUUCACGACCCUCGAUCUGAUUAUGUUCGCCGAGCUACCUGGAUCCACUAAAACACGUUUAACCUGAAUUUUAUUCAAAAGGAUAGAGAUUACCUGGGCGUCGUUGUGAGGCUGGGAUAUGUCUUCUGCUUCCUUGUCGCAAAAUGAUAGGGCGUCCUCGGGCACAUAGGUCCGAGUUUGUUUUUCCUUUGUGAUGGACGCUUUAGUGCAUUUGAAUGUAGAUCCCUAUGGGACGUCGGCUCCUCCGAUGAUCAUGUGAAUGACAUGUUGGGGGUUUUCAGGUUCAUUCUUCCUAUUUGCAUCUCUUUCCCGGAAAUGGUUUUUGGCCCGGUCACUGAGAAAUUCAUGAAGGUGCCCCUCCUUGAAUAGUCGAGCUACUUUCUCUCUGAGCUGUCUGCAAUCCUUGGUCUUAUGCCCGUGAGUGCCAUGGUACUUACACAUUAAGUUGGGGUUUCUCUGAGAAGGAUCUGUUUGUAUGGGCUUAGGCCAUCUAGUAUCUUUAAUUUUACCAAUGGCUGAGACGAUAUUUGAGGCGUCGACACUGAAGUUGUAUUAUGAUAACUUGGGGCCCUCCACUGGCCCCGGGUGCCUGUCAGACUCGAUUUUGCCCACGAUUCCUGGGAGCUUUGGCCUCGAUCUAUUCUUUGAUCAUUCCGAGGUGCAUUGCACCUUGAAAUGUUCCUUCUGUCUUCGACGUACGGUUGAUAUCUUUCCUUGUUGAAUCUUGAUCCCCGGUCUGUGUCCCUCGGUGGUUUGACUGCGAAUCUGUUCGGGUGAACUGAGCCCGAGGGGGCUCCCAACUGGUCAUCCUCAACUCUAAUUUUCGAUUGAUACCGAUUGUUCAUAUCCGACCAUGUCACUGCUGGAUACUCGAUCAAGUUCUGCUUUAGCUGUCGAGAUGCCAUCGAGCUCCUUUCAUUCAAACCUUGCAUGAAGGCCCGAACCACCUAGUCAUCAGAGACCGGGGUUAAUUCCAUCCUUUCCAUCUGAAACCGGGACACGAACUCCCUUAGCAUUUCGUCGCCCCUCCGCCUUAUCUUGAAUACGUCCGAUUUUUUUUGUGGCCACCUUUAUGGCCCCGGCGUGUGCUUUUACGAAGGCACCGCUAACAUAGCAAAUGAAUCAAUAGAGUUAGGAGCUAAGUUGUGAUACCACAUCAUAACUCCUUUUGAUAGCGUUUCUCCAAACUUUUUCAAUAAUACUGACUCGAUUUCGGCUUCAUUCAAGUCAUUUCCUUUGAUCCCGCAAGUGUACGAAGUAAUAUGUUUGUUAGGUGUCCCUUAGCCGGAUCUCCCCAUACCUCGAGUCUCUCGGACUCGAGCCUAUAAUCCGAUUUAAGACUCCAAAAUCAUACUCCUCGAUUUUGACCGUAUACACGGGUAAAAAAAUUAACAGUGGCACAAAAGUAUUCUAUUUUUUUCAUUCUCCCUAACAAUUGAUCUUUAACUCUUCCCAUUUUUCUUUCUCUAUUAGUUUGAGGUGUUUCAAGUACGAAUUAUUUUUUUUAGGUAGGGGCCGUUGGACCUUAAACUUGCAUUACCAUUUAAUAGAGGGGGGAAAUUAUUAUUUGUACUCGAUACAUGCAUCGAGAUAUUGGAGAAAUUUAUUUAGAUUUUUAUACAGCAGUUUGGGUAAAUAAACACGCUAAACAACUGUGAUUAAUUGACAAAAGCGUAAGUAAUUAAGUAUGAUGAAGUGAUAUGUAUCUUCACUUGAAUCUAACUUAUAUACACUAUCAUAUAAAUUGUUUUUAUAUUAUCCGUAUAAUUUAACAUGCUGUAACAAAUUAUGAAUUUUAUUUUUUGAUUAACUAGUUUUAUUUAUUAUAAAUAAUUACUUAUACUUAUCUUUUCAGGUGACCUCAUAAUAUAAAAUUAAACGAGAUGUCAGUAUAUUAGAGUUACUCUUUUCAAUUUAGGUUGUAAGAAAAUGAUUUGGUAGUGUAAAGACGAGUGUAGAUAAGUAUUUUCCAUAGGUAAGCGUGCACAAACGGGAAUGAGUAGUAGGAAAAUUUCAGCAUAAGAAGUAAAAGGGGUAGCCCUAUUGCCAUUAGUCUAUUAGACAAUAGAUGAAGAGUUAGGCACAUGGGUAUGAAAGGUUCAGUGUCCCACACCCAUUGCCACUCUUUCCUUUCACAGCCACUCCUCAAUCCACAAUCCCCGCUUCUUUUCCUUCCAAUUUUCCCUUCAUCUCCUCACUCGUUUUCCUUUUUCUUUCUUCCCCUUCUCUUUUUCUUCUUCUUUAUAUUACUCUUUCUUUUUGUAGUUUUGAUAAUUAACCUCUUAUUUGGUAAGAGGGACGGAGGGAUUCUUUUCUUUUUCUUUUUGAUUAUUAUUCCGCAGCCUCAAAUUCACCAUUACUCAAAUGGUCCCUCGAUUAUUCCAAAUUAUCUCCUAAAAUUACUUUUCUUUUAUUUCUAACAACAAAGUCACUGAACUAUGCAUAUUGCAUUCAGAAAGACACUCAAUUAGAUUUUCCAAAUUUUGAAGUGUCUUAUACCUAUUUUACCCUCUAAAUUAUAAACAUUUAUCUUCUUUUUAUUUUUUUUAAACUUUUUAAUAUUAUGAUUUUUUCCUUUUUAAUUUACAUUAUGGAUCUUUAUCCUUAUAGAAUUAAACUAGAUAUUAUNNNNNNNNNNNNNNNNNNNNNNNNNNNNNNNNNNNNNNNNNNNNNNNNNNNNNNNNNNNNNNNNNNNNNNNNNNNNNNNNNNNNNNNNNNNNNNNNNNNNNNNNNNNNNNNNNNNNNNNNNNNNNNNNNNNNNNNNNNNNNNNNNNNNNNNNNNNNNNNNNNNNNNNNNNNNNNNNNNNNNNNNNNNNNNNNNNNNNNNNNNNNNNNNNNNNNNNNNNNNNNNNNNNNNNNNNNNNNNNNNNNNNNNNNNNNNNNNNNNNNNNNNNNNNNNNNNNNNNNNNNNNNNNNNNNNNNNNNNNNNNNNNNNNNNNNNNNNNNNNNNNNNNNNNNNNNNNNNNNNNNNNNNNNNNNNNNNNNNNNNNNNNNNNNNNNNNNNNNNNNNNNNNNNNNNNNNNNNNNNNNNNNNNNNNNNNNNNNNNNNNNNNNNNNNNNNNNNNNNAUUGUGUAAAUAAAUUUUUGAAUUUUUGUUGUUAAUACUAAAAAGUUUUAAAAAAUAAAAAGAAAAUAAAUAUUUAUAAUUCAGAGGGUAAAAUAGGUAUUUGGCAAUCCAAAAUUUGGAAAAUAUAGUCGAGUGACCUUCUGAGUAAUUGACUCCAAAUUCAAGAUAACGAGUGAUUUUUUUUAUUUAUCCAAAUGGAACUCGAAUUUUUGACUUAAAAAUUAGAAGUAGAGGAGGCUAAUCACUUGUCGGCUGGUUUCUUACUUUGCAUUGUCAUAAAAAAAAAACUUUUUUAGAUGAAUUUUGAACAAGUUAAUGUUAGUUAUUUUUACCUUAAUUUAAAAACAACAUAGUUACAUUAUACGGUGGUACGAGCUCACUAGGGUAAAGAAAAGCCCAUCUUAACCAUUGAAUGGAGGAAAUUUAAAACUUUACCUAACUAAAAUAAAAUUAGUAAAUUGCCACAAAAAAAAAAAGUUAUCAAAUUUAUGUUAUAUUGGAUUGUCAAUCGAGUUAUUGUAGUGGGAAUUUUGACCUUGGAUUACUUACUUGGAACCUACUACCUCGGGAUCCUUUACCAUAUGUAUCAAAAGUUGCGUAAACCCUAAAAGCCUAAAGUUAUAUUCUUUAGAAUCAUUACUGAUUUUGUUGUGUUCUUGAAAAGUUAAUUCAUUUAAAAUUAUCAAAAGAAAAGGAAAACUGCGAUCUUUCAGCUAAAGCACAAGGAUUACGCUUUGAGCCGCAUGACUCAAUCUUAAGGAUAAAGUUAAAUGCAUAUAAUUGUAGUUUUCUGCAAGUGCAUAUAUAAUAAACGUACGGCUCUAGAGGAAAUUACAAAAACUAAGGAAAAAUAAAAUGAUAAAGAGGAAAUCAGUAAUUAGAAAUAUAUUAUAAAUGAUUAUCUACCUUCUUUUCAAUUAUCAAUUAACUUACUAUAAAUAGUUACUCCUAUUUGAAGUGAUAUAAUAUAAUAUUAUAAUUCUUUUACCGUAACAGAAAUUAAACUCUAAACAAAUUAGAAACAUCCAUCGAACAAAUGAACCCUUUUGUUAAAGUGCUAUAAUUACGGAAGGGACCACUUUCUUCCUCCAUUUUUCCUGUCCCCAUUUGCACCUAAUAAGGAGGGAGAGAUAAUCACUCCCCACUCAAAAAUAACAAUAAAAAUAAAAAAUAAAGAAAAAAGGAAAAGUAAAUGUUUAAAAAUUUGUAACAAAUAAGAAAUUAAAAAAAAAAGUACACACACAAAAGAGAGAUAAAGGGUCUCUAUAUAAAGACAGUUCAUUGCAAGUUCACAGCCAUAGAGGAAUUACACAACACAAUUUCACAUCUCUCUCCUAUUCUUUUUUUCCUAUCCAAAAUGGCACCCAUUGCCAAACAUUUCUCCCUUAUCUUUCUCCUUACUCUCUUGUCUUCGCUCCAAAUUCAUGCAAGGGACGGUCAAUUCUUCAACAAAAUCCCCAGCAACAAUGGUGAGAAAGAGACACAAACAGUUAUUCCCAACAAAGAACAAGAACCUAAUUUCAUGCCUGAGAAUGAAAAUGGAGCCUAUGGCCUAUAUGGUCAUGACUCUGUCACCACUCCUAACACCAACAACCCCACUGUCCACGAUCUUCCUAACAGCAAAUACCUUCCCAAGAAUUACAACCCUGUUUCUUAUGUGACUGUCCCUGAGGACAACACUAAUGAAAAUGAUUUGAACAACAAUGAGUUUACAACCAAGCACACUACCACCACCACUGCCUCUAAUAACAACCAAUUCUACAGUGGUCCCACCACUUACGGCAACAACAACAACCAACAGUACUAUAAUGGCGUCAGCGAUUAUAGUACUAAGCGCAACAACCAGCAGCAGCAGCAACAGUUCUACAGCGGCGACAACUUUUACAGUAACAACCAGCAGCAGCAGCAGUACUACAACGGUGGCAACUCUUACAACAAUAACAACGACAACAACAACAAUGAAGAGGAGGAGGAGUACUACAACAACAAUGGUGGUAACACUUACUACAACAACAACGAGCAACAGGAGUUGAGCGAAACAAGAUUAAGUGCCAGAACUUACAGCACCAACCCAACAAAUUACGGAAACAAUUACAACAACAACAAUCAAGAACAGAGCUACUCCACCAACUACAAUAACUACAACACUGGCAAAAGUAAUUACAGGGUGCACCAGCAGCAGGGGAUGAGUGACACAAGAUUCUUGGGAAAUGGGAAAUUCU
RNAcentral lists this long non-coding RNA (55299 nucleotides) under Nicotiana tabacum (common tobacco). RNAcentral describes it as "long non-coding RNA (NTAB_LNC001113)". The record is from RNAcentral. Lineage: Eukaryota; Viridiplantae; Streptophyta; Magnoliopsida; Solanales; Solanaceae.